AAGCAAUUUCUUCAAGAGCUUGGUUUGAAUCAGAUGGAGUAUAUUGUCUAUUGUGACAGUCAGAGUGCAAUAGACUUGAGCAAGAACUCCAUGUACCAUGCAAGAACAAAACACAUUGACGUCAGAUAUCAUUAGAUUCGUGAGAAAGUGGAGAAUGAAUCAUUUCACGUCAAAAAAAUUCACACAAGUGAAAAUCGUGCAGAUAUGCUGACAAAGAUGAUACCAAAAGACAAGUUCGAGUCAUGCAAAGAACUUGUGGGUAUGAGCUCUCUCUAAAGAAGUUGAAGAUACCUUGUUCCAGUAAAUGGGACUGGAGGGGGAGAUUUGUUGAAUCCAUCCCAUUGUUUUAGUCAACUUUAGUUAUUCAAUUGGUACAAACAAUUGUUAAAAAGGAAUAGUAAUUGGAGUUGAAAAGAAAAGAUUUGGUAGUUGGCAAAUUGGUAAGAUUUGCAACCAUUUUUGACUUUGCUAUGUUUACAUAUGUCAUUAGUGACAUAGGUAUGGUUUUAUCCUUCUAUAAAUAGAGCAUUCUUGCUCAUUUGUAGAACACACCAAGUUAGAGAAAAAAAAACCAUUUUGAGAGCAAAGUGAGGUAUUCCAUAGACUAUACAAGAAAAUAGUCUGUGAAGAAAAAUAGAGUGUGAGCGAUAUUUUUGUAAGACGGAAACCAAAAGAGUGUUGUUCCUUUUGAGUGUGUAGUAGUCACUUUGAGUGUUGUAUUCGUGACUACACAGUGUAAAAUUCCUUACUAUAGUAAUAUCAGUUGCUCCUCUUGGCCCGUGGUUUUUUCCCUUAUUCAGAAGGGUUUCCACGUAAAAUUCUUGGUGUCGUUAUUUUCUCAUUUUAUUUCCAUUACUUUUACCAUAUAUAUUUUUGUGCUUUUCGCGUUUUUCCAACAAACUGGUAUCAGAGCCCAGGUUAUCAACAAGUCUCAGCCCACCGGGAGGAACUGGGUUGUCGUUCUCUCUAGCCCAAGGCCCGAUGUGUGAAGGGGGAGAUUGUUGGGUUAUCCCACAUCGGAAGUGGAAGGGGCUGGUGGUCAAUCUAUAAGUGUGAGGGAAAGCCUCAACCUUUGAGCUAGCUUUUGGGUUGAGAAGGCCCAAGACCACCCAACAUAGAGAACAUAUAAUCUUUCAUAAAGUUCACAACCCUCCGGCAAAGUGACAACCCUUUAGGAGAGUUACAAUCCUUCAUUUGUUGGGAAAGACAAGGCACUAACAAAGAAUGUCUGACAGGAUAACAGCGGAAGAAUACCCAAGUCUAUACUUUCCCUUCUCGAUUUGAACCAAGAAAAGACAAACAACCACAAGCAAUAUGAUAGUAAGGCAGCAAGUAAUUCAACCAAACAAAUAUAACAAGACAAUAAUAAACCAAUCACACAAGACACCAAUUUCGCAGCUACUGUUUACGACAGCAAAACUGAAGUUGCAGGCCACCAAAUCCAACUCUGUCAGUUCCUAAUCAAAGAUUGAGAUGAAAAUAAUAUGCUGUCCAAAAAUCAGCUCAAUCGGACAAGAAACGAAGCGGGAAUCGCAAUUUGAAGUUGGCUGUUAGGGCUGAAUUUUGACUGCGAAAAUUGCUCUCUUUCUCUCUUUUUGGUUGCUAAAAAAACUCUCUGUGUAUAUGAAAAUAAGACCUAAAUAGGCUUAUAUUUGCCUCAUAAUAAUGGGCCUAUGGGCAAAAAUGAAUUGGUCCAAAUUGGACUUUUAUUUAUCCACAUAGGAAGCAAAAAAAACCAUAACCCAACAUCAUUUUCUGUUCACACCUUUAAAACUCAACAAAUGUCUCAAUUGUUUAAACUCCCAAACACCACAAGGAAGUUCAAUGAUGCUAUUACCAAUAUCUAGGGUCUCUAGACGUUUGAGCUUCACCGUGCAAUUUGACAGUUCACGUAAAUCUUCCCCUCGAAUAGCAGAUAGCGUAAGUAACUCAUGUUCCCGAUUUUGAAGUUAGGAUGAGUCAUUUGAGAAAAAAUGCAACUCUCUUUUGUGAAACAGAAAGGGUAAACAUACAUAAGACAAUAAAUGGUUGUAUUUUAAAAAUUAGUAGCGACAAAUACAUCAACUUGAAAAAGCAAAAAUCAAACAUUUAAUUUAAUGUUAUUUAUUGCAAAUUCAAACAGUCAUGGUCUCCAGCAAAGACUUGAAUCAUUCUGAAAUGCAUCUGCAAUUUAUUAGACAUAAAAUGAUUUAGUUCAUUAAUUAAAAAAAUUAGCUUAUUGAGAGAAAAUUGUAAAUAAUUAAGGUAGCAAACUAACCUGUUGAUGCAUUGAGAUUUUCAUACUCUCAGCUUUGUAAGACGUUCCGAGAGCCUAAUGUUGAACUUGGUAUGUUUCAGUAAUAACUUUUUCAAUUUAGGCAUACUCACAUCAUCUGUGCACUCUACUUCAGAUAACCCGAAUGGUUUUUGAAUAUGCAGAACUUCAAGUUGCAGAAAGCUAUCAUUAUCACCAGAGAGAUCCAUCUUUUCUUCCUUAUGUUGGCAGUAAAUCAUUUUAAGUAUUCUUAAUUUGGGCAAUUUCUUAAGCAAUGCUACUAAAUGACCUUCUACCUCAAUGCAGCUAAGAGUAAGCUUGACAAGAUUUGGAGGGAACGUUUCAGAGUUCAAAUGCUCGCUUCCAUUCAAAUGCAACUUAACAAUAUUUGGAAAGGGUGACAAGUUUAUUUGCUCACUCGAUUGAUACAAAAAUAUGAGCUUCAGAGCCUCCAACUCUUUUGGCAACGUUGAUAAUAUCUGAAUGGUAGAAUCAGAUACUCUCCAUAUACCCAGUUUUCUUAAGUUGAUCAACCGGUGAAAUAAUCUCGGUUCAACAAACUUAUCAUCCACACACAUCAAAGUUUGUAGAUUAGUAGGAGGCAAUGAGCAAAUGUUUCGGCUUAUAGAAAAGCAACAGUUAGAUUCUUGUAAAUUACCUUUACAACGAAGAUGUCUCAAUUGUGUAGACUCCCAAACACCAGUAGGAAGUAUUGCCCAGCUAUUUUCAAUAUUUAGGGUCUGCAUAUGUUUGACCAUACUAUUUGGCAGUUCCCCAUACAUAUGCCCCUCCAAUUGCAGAUAGCGUAAGCAACUCGUCUUCCCAAACGUUUUUGGGAUUCCUAUGUAACUUAAAAAAUAAUCAUAAGCUAUGACUACAACCAACACUUGCAAUAAUUUGAAGUCAUGACGAGCCAGUUGAGAAAAUAGGCAAGUAUCAUUUAUAAAACAGAAAAGUGCACGAAGUUUCUUAGGCUUAGGAUUUGAACGGAAGAAAUCAUUCAUGGCAUUAAUAUUAGAGUAGAAUGUAAUCCUUCGCACCCUAGAAACAUUGCCGGGAUCACCAAAUGCAUUGUGCUCGGUGUGAAAGAAGUUACUUUCCUUGCCCAACUCCACACACAAACUAUGUAACAAGUCAUGUAUGCGACAAGUUGAAAUUCUUCCAUCAUAUCUCCUUUUGGCAACUUGGAUCAAGUUUCUAGAAACCAAAUCAUUUAGGAAAUCCUCCGCCUUACUUUCAGCCUCUCGCGUAUUACCACUAUUUACAACUAUGAGCUUCUCAGCAAUCCACAUAUUUAUCAAAUCAAAAGCACGAAUUUCAUAGUCCUCGGGGAAAAGGCCAAAGUACAAGAAACAUGGCCUUAAUGCAAUAGGCAAAUCAUUGUAACUCAAAGCCAAUACCUUAGCACAUCCCUCUUGAAUUUUAUGAGUCAUACUGUCAAGUACUCUGUUCCAUGCAUGUUCUGUUCUUCCUCUUGCCCUUAACAUACCUGCAGUCACCACAAUCGCUAGCGGUAUACCUCCACAUCUCUCAACUAUACAUCUACCAAUAUUUACCAAGUCUGGUGAAGUAUUGGCCCAAUUAUCAUCAACAAAAUUACAGAUUUUCUUGGUAAAGAGUUCAAAACUGUUCUCCGAAUCUAGAGGUUGCAACACGUGGAUUGAGAAAUCCCCUCCUAUGUAUCUGCCUACAUUACUAUUUCGAGAGGUUAUAAUUAUCCUACUGCCAAUUUUUGAAUCAGAUUCAGGAAGGACGAGUUUUAGAUCAUCCCAAAUUUCAACAUCCCAAAUGUCAUCUAAAAGGAUAACGUACCUUUUUAUUUUCAAGAGUGAUCUUAGGUUGUGUUCCAAGUUCUCUUUCCUUUCUUCUUCCGUCAGUCCAACUUGUUUGGCUAUGUUAAGCAAGAUUUCUCCCGCCCUUGGCUGCUGCGAGACAUAGACCAAUCCAGAACAUUCAAAUUGAUGACGGACGUGCCUAUAAAGUUUCUUGGCAAGAGUAGUUUUUCCCAAACCGGGCAUGCCAACUAUUGAAACAACUCCAUAAGGCAAAUCUUGAAGAAGCAAUUUGUGUUGGAGCUUGUUGAAGUCAUGAUCCAAACCGAUGACCUCUGUUUCAUCAUAAGCAUGAAGGAAUCGUCUUCUCCGGUCCAUUGGAAUGCAAUCAUCAUUAUUGUUACUUGUAUCUGUGAUGUUGUAAGUUGUCCUUACACGGUCAAUAUCAGCAACUCUUCUUUUUAUCUUCUCAAUCUCCAUAGCAAACUUAUUCGCAAAAUAAACAGUCUUAAGGCAACAAAUGAACUUAUUGGAUUGUUGAAUUUUUGGAAGGAACUCAUCUAAUAGAUCCUCCACAUCACCUGCCAGUUGUUGAAUAUCUUCUAAUAGGUUUUUGACCCUUGAAUCACCUCCAACUUCCUUUGCCUUUGCAUCGUCUACAUAUGAUCGAAUGUGUUUCAUUUCUCUUUGGAGCCAAUCGAUGUCCUCCUUCAACCAAUAUAAACGCGUACCUUCUUGCACGAGUAGAUUUGCAGCUAUUUCAACAGAUUUAUUGAUGACUGCUGUAAGAAGAAUAUCAGCCAUCUCCUUUUUCCUUAAUUUCCUUUUUUUUUUUUGUAAAUGUAAGGAUGAGGAAGGGAAAGUAAGAAAAAAAUAUGAUCAAUUUGCUUUAGUGUUGGAGUCAACGACCAAGUCUUGUAAACACAUUUUUUCUUACUCAUGUUAGCUGGUAUUUCGUUUUCAAGCAUCAAUAACAAACAUUGAAAGGCGUAAAAUUCAAUGGCAAAGAUGAGUUCACACCUCAGCUUCUGGAUUCUCCUUCAUCCGAUUAAUUUUUCAAGAGAUAUUGUAUGAGUUGCCGUAUUCUGAUUAGAGGUCUCGAAUUCAAUAUUAAUAUUGGAGGAAAAUUCUGAUUAUAAAGUUUUUUUCUUCUUACAAAUCAUAAGCUACCCACAAAUAAAUCAACUUUAAAAAGCAAUCAAUAGGGAUUUAGUUGGUACACAUUCUAAAGUUUAAUUUGUUCAAUAUCAUUAGCAAAGGUUGUGGCAGAUGUUGAAUGCCUUGAAUCGGGCCCAAGCCUGUUAGGGCGUAGCUUAGCACUAUAUAUAGACGCUAUGGGAAACCCUAUUCUGUAAUUCUGUUUUUGCCUCUCCAUAAUAAAACUGCUCCCUCUCUUCCCGUGGACGUAGCCAAUUUAUUGGUGAACCACGUAAAUCUGUUGUCUUGUUUUUGCGUUUAUAUUUUCUCGUAUUAUCUCAAAUUCCGCACAACAGCAGAUAUUAGCAAAGUGUUUGGGAUACUCAUAAUUCUCCAUAAAUCAUCAUUAGAUAUGACUACAACCAACACUUGCAAUAAUUUUUUGAAGUUAAGAUGAGCCAUAUGAGAAAAUAUGCAAGAGUGUAUAUUUGUGAAACACAAAAGUGCACGAAGCUUCUUACGGUUACGAUUCGAAUGGAAGAACUCAUUGAUGACAUUAUUAUCAGAGUAGAAUGUCAGCAAACCUUUUGAAAAAAUUAAGUGACAACGCAAACAUCUUUAGUAUAUACCUAUCAUCAAUCACACUAUAUUGAAAAAACAUAAAUCAUUUUAAGUUUCCUAACGUCUUGCAAAACUUCACCCUUCAUGGCUGUGAGUUUGGGCUCUCAAAAUAUUUUGAGUGCGUAUUUGAUUCUUCAAUACGAUUUUAUUUAACUUUAAUAGGUAGUGAGACAUUACCAUAAUGACUCUAGUGGAAUGGUCGGAAUUUCUAUGCUUUUCUAGUAAGGAGUGUUUUGCUCUAAGUUUAUUAAUUAGACUAAUUUAAAUUUCUAUCACUUAAUACUGAUUUAAGAAAAAAUUACUUUAUACUCCAUUCGUUUUAAAAAGAAUGAUUUAGUUUGACUUGAAACGGAAUUUAAAAAAAAAAAAGACUGAUUCUAAAUUAAAAUUAUGUCAAAUAUACAAAAAUCUCUUUUAAUCUUUUGGUCUUAAACAUGCCACGUGAAAAGUUAGAAUUAAAAUGUUAUCAAAAUAGAAAAAGGGAUCAUUAUUUUUUAAACAUGCUAAAAAAAAAAUACGAUCAUUAUUUUUUCAACGGAUGAAAUAUCAAUUUUUUUCAUUUUCAGAGCUGAUUUAGUUUUUUUGAUUCAUUAUGUGUGAUCUGCGAAUCCUUGUGGUAUUGAUAACACAAGUUAAAACAUCUGUAGGUUAUUUCACAUGGACUUACAUCAAGGAAAAGAAAAAAAAAAGGAUAUAAUUUGAGGAAAUAUAAAAUAUAAAUAAAGUCUCGUAUUAAUUAUUUUGUUCUUGCAAAUGAAUGAAUAAACCAACAAAAAAUUGACUAAUUUUACAAUCAAACUGCUUUUAAAAUAAAGUGAAACACUAUUUAGAAAAAAUACAAAUAAUUCACGUAACAUCCUAAAAUAGCUUUCUCAACCUCGAUAAUUGCUCAUUUAUAAACUAUUAUGAGUUCACAUAAUGCAUUGUACAUUAAUUCCAAAAAUACCCUCUUCGAAAAUCAAGGUACAACACCUCUAAGCAUUAGAAUUGUCCUCUAGUGCCUUACUAUUUUGAGCUAUUAAAACGCCGCAGAUAUUGUAUACGAGUAUUUUUUACACUCUGAAAAAGUCGAAAGGCAGUGUACUUAUAUAUACCCUUUCUUAAACCCCACAGUCCACAGUAAGACCUAGCCGCUUCUCAUUUUCUGGCCUCUUAAACCCUGAAAAUUUGUCUUCAUCAGGUUUGUUUUUUUAAUAAGUUUUUUGAGAUGGGAUUAUGCUUAUUUUGCUAUAUUAUGGUUAUUUGCCCUGUUGUUUUGUUUUGGUUCUUGAUUAUUUAGUUUAUAUGGAGCUGGAGCUUUGUUAAGUGUUUGGGGUAUGUUGGUUUUAUGUUUGGGGUAUGUUGUAGAACUCUUUUUUUUUUUUUAUGUUUGGUGAUAAAAAUGAGUUUUUUUUAAUAAUGUUUGGUGAUUAAAGUGAGUUUUUUGAGAUGUGUUUAUUCUUAUUUGGUUAUCCUAUGGUUAUUUGCCUUGUUGUCUUGUUAUGGUUCUUGAUUAUUUAGUUUAUAUGGAGCUUUGUUAAGUGUUUGAGGUACAUUUGUUUUAUGUUUGGUUCAUGUUAUAGAACUCUUACUCAUUGUUUUUUCAUGUUUGGUGAAAAAAAUGAGUUUUUUUUAAUGUUUGGUGAUAAAAAUGAGUUUUUUUAGAUGAGUUUAUGCUUAUUUGGCUAUGCUAUUGUUCUUUGCCUUAUUGUUUUAUUUUGGUUCUUGAUUUUUUGUUAAUAUGGAACUUUGUUAAGUCUUUGGGGUCUUUUGGUUUUAUGUUUGGUUCAUGUUGUAGAACUUUUACUCAUUGUUUUUUUAUGUUUGAUGGAAAAAAUGAGUUUUUUGAGAUGGGUUUAUGCUUAUUUGAUUAUAUUAUGGUUCUUUACCUUAUUGUUUUGCUAUGGUUUUUUAUUUUAAGUUAUUAUGGAGCUUUGUUAAGUCUUUGGGGUAUAUUGGUUUUGUGUUUGGUUUAUAUUGUAGAUCUUUUACUCAUUGUUUUUUAAUGUUUGGUGAAAAAAGAUUUGUUUUUUGAGAUGGGUUUAUGUUUAUUUGUUAUAUCAUGGUUCUUUACCUAAUUAUUAUGUUAUGUUCCUUUUUUUGGGUUAAUAUGGAGCUUUGUUAAGUCUUUGGUGUAUCUUGGUUUUAUGUGUGGUUUCAUAUUGUAGAACUUUUACUCAUUGUUUUUUCAUGUUUGGUUAAAGAAAAUCACUCUUUACCCUGUUCAAGUCUGAUACUGUAUUCUUCGUAGAACUUUUAUGGGUUUUUUAUGUUUGGUGGAAAAUAUUGUUCUUUGUUCUAUUCAAAGUGAGAUGAUGCUUUGGCCUUCUUAUUAGUUUGAUAUCUUUUGUUAUUAGUAGUGUUUCUUUUUCUUGUAUGUAUGUAGUGUAUUUCUCUAAUUUGUGUAAUUGAGUUAAACGAGUUUGAUGAUUGUUCUGUUUUGAAAUAAAUAUACUGGAAUGUUGCUCUCACUUGUUAUUUGCUUCAGAAAAUUAACUGACUACUGUUGAAUGAUUAGCUAGUUGGCAGGGCAAAGCCACAAUGCAUCUCAUGGGUUUGGGAAAACAGACUCUUUAUUCGUGUUGAAAAUUUCACUCAAGAUGUAUGAAUAGUCUAUCCAGAACCAAAUAAACUACUUUUUAAAGAAAAAUUAUAACUCAUAAGCUCAAAAUCGUAGCUUUGCCUCUGUGAAGAUGGUUUGAACCUAAGAUAUAAUAUUAGGCCAGAAAUUUAAUUUUUGUGUACUGUAUCUAAACAUGUGUUCUAAUAUCUAGUAACAAAUCCCAUGGGGGUGCAAGAGUGAAGGGAAAGGGGAGACCUAGAGAGCUAAUAGAUUUCACCGCAUAUGUGGUUUCAGAAAUCUAGUUUGUGGAUGUAUGCCACUGUGUUUUUUUUAGUAUGCAUUUAAAUGAAUGAGUUUUGCAUCGUUUAGUUGUCAUUUGUAUAGGUUUUCUGCUUUGUCAAUCUACUUAUUGAUGUUGCCUGUCAGAUUAAAGGUUUCCAUACUUUAAAAUUCUAAAUUUGUAUAACCUUCUUUUCAUUCUUUUUAUAGAUAUCAAUGGCUUUCUACAACAAACUUGGUGGUCUUUUGAGGCAGAGCAUCUCAACAAGUGGCAAUACAUUAAACGCACAAUCAUCAGCACCUUCAAUGCUUAAUGCCAUCCGUUGCAUGUCAACAAAGCUUUUUGUUGGAGGUAUGUGAGUAGCAGUCUGAAAAAAAUAUCACAAGUAUUGUUUCUUAGUGAAUACCCUGCGACAGUUUGCUUAUUUAUUCCUCAAUUUAAUAGGUCUUUCAUUUGGAACUGACGAUCAGUCUCUGAGGGAAGCCUUCACCAGUUUUGGUGUUGUCGUCGAGGGUAAUCUCCCAACUAUCCCGAGUCUGGCUUGCUUUAGUUUCCAUCUUGUUUUUAUUCUCCGAUUAUGAGUAUUUGAAUGAACAACACAACGAAAAUCAAGUUAGAUGAAAAUGCUAUCUUUUAUGAAGGAUCAUACACAGUACAAUAUGUAUCUGAUAAUAGCUUCCGAUGUAUAUAUAAUUUAAACCUAUACAUGGCAUGGUGGAUGCAUAAAUUUGUCUGUUGUCUUGUGUUCCUCUUGCUUACUAGGCUAUGAAACUUGAUAGAUUUUCUGCAGCUCGUGAUUUGUUUCAUGACCUUAAGUGUUCAUAUAGUGAGUGCUCCACGCGUUUUUGUCAUAAAUUGCAUACUCUAGUGAUUGGGCUGGGAUAUUGGCAUUUUUCUGAUGGUUUCUAAGUUUGUUCUAUCGUUAAGGCAUUAUCAGCUACUAUCUUCAUCUCCCUCGUUUAGUUUGUGGGUGCUAGGAUUAGUUUAACAUCGGAGUUGAACCAAUACUUAUGGUUUUUUUGACAUGGUCCUCCCUUUCAUCUCGCUUGCUAGCUCUUACUUUCUGCUGUUUGAACUUUGUUCGUGUGUUAAAUAUUCGUGUACUUUGAUUGUGGCACAGCUAAGGUCAUCAUGGAUAGAGAUUCUGGGAAAUCAAAGGGAUUUGGAUUCGUGAACUUCACAGAAGGUCAAUCUGCCCAAGAUGCUAUGUCAGCAAUGGAUGGACAGGUAAAAUUUUGUUAGUAAUACAUGAAACCUUUAGUUUAUGCCUUUGUAUAGUUUAAGGGACUAUUUGGUUACAAUGAUUUGGAUUAAAUUUUGUACCAUAUUCGGUUGUGGAUAUUAGUUGAAACUCAACGACAUAGUGUAGUUUUACAAAGUGGGGUCCGGGAAGGAUAGAACGUAUGCCUCUCAGAAGUAAAGAGGCUGGUUAUUCAUGAAUCAUGGCUGAUAUCACAUUAUGCUCCCUGUAGGAUCUCAACGGGAGGAACAUCCGCGUCUCUCUAGCCCAAGAGAGAGCCCCACGCAGUGGUGGCUUUCGUUCUGGUGGUGGCGGAUUUGGCGGUGGCUAUGGUGGAUCUAGACAAAAUGAUGCAUACUAAGUAAAACUUGUAAUCUUUGCUCACUUGUCUAUACAAGCAUAGCAAAUUUCGUAGGUAGGAGAUGGAACGUAACGCGAUUUUGUGUUGAACGAAUUUUCCUUAGCUUUUAAUGUAUGCUUCUAUAUUAAGGUUUUAUCAUAUGAUCACUUGACUUCCCUAACUUUGGUCCAAGUGGGCAAGUCGAUUUUAAUUAGUCGAGUUUUUAUGUGCUAAAGUUCAAAUAAAAAAUGAUUGAACUUCAGUCAUAUGUACCCGUCAGCUAUGUGCAGUGACUUCGUUAAAGAUUAACUUCAGACACUGUAUAUCUGAAAUUAUGUAAGCAACACAAAUUAAAUGACGACGUCAAAAUUGGAUAUCCAUGUGCUUUGCCGUUGAGUGUGUAAUUAUACGAUUGGAAAAAAUAAUUUGGGCUAAGACUAAUUGAUUUGUUCUCUAAAGUCCAGGAAACAAAUCUUAAGCCCAAGGUAUAAAGAAACGAUGCACAUGUUAGAUUAAUUUUGAAUUAAGAAUGUGUUUGAUACGAAAGAAAAACAUUUCUAAGAAAAUAAGUGAGUUUUUUAUUUAUGUAUUGUCGUUAGUAUGUAAAUAAAAACUAUAAUUACAAAUAUUUGUAUAUAAAUUAGAUAAAUAUUGUGGGAUGUAGUUGAGAAUCGAGAUAAGGGAAGGGGUGAUAGAGUGGUGAUGAUGGAGGCUAUAUCUAUAGAGAGGUAGGUAAAGACGAGGUAUGAUGUAUAAUGCGAUAUAAAAUGACAACUUAUUUUUUCUACUUCCAUUAAAUAUGUCCGUUUUAUAUUCUUAGCGAAGUUAUUUUCCUAAAAAAAAAGUCUUUUUUUCAUACUUUAUGUGUAGCACCAAUUAUUCACUUUAAUUGCUUUUCUAAAGUCUAAAUUUCAAUUGACAUGAAAUCAUAGUCCUUAAUUAAUAUGUAUUUAAUAUAAUAAUAAGAAUGUUGUCCCACUACUUACACACAAAAUUUUAGAGUGAAGUCUUUUCAAUGUUUAAUAAUCUUAUUGCUAAUUGUUUUCUUGUGCAACAAAUUAAGCCUUGCCGACACUUUUAUUUUCUUUAAUGUCCUUUUCAUGAUUGAGUUAUUAACAUGUGCCUAUGGUCCAAAUAAAUUGAUAUUUACAAAUCAAUUAAGAGUGUGACACUUACUUGAAUCAAGGGGCUCAUCAAAAAUACUUUUUAUAUAUAAAAUUAUAACAGAUUAAAUAUGUUAUUAUCGUUGUUAUAAUUAAAAGUGUGAUAUCACUAAUUACAAAACUAAGUUAUUGUCUAUGCGAAACAAGCUCGAAGAGUAUAGUAUUAAGAAAAUAGGAUUAGAGGAACUAAUGAAGAAAUCUUGAGGUAGAGAGACUUUAGGGUUAAUUAGGGGUGCAAAUAUUAAGUUUUAUAGCAACUUACAAUAUUGCGUGAAAAUGAAGAUUUCUUAUAGAAAAAAAAUAUAAUAUUGAAAUUAAAUUUAUAAAAUACGAGUACUAAACCAAUUGACCCGUUGGAAUUUCAACUUUUAUGAAUAAAAAUAUCAUGAUUAAUCUGACGUUGAAUUUAUACCAGUCUUGUUAUAGAUAGAUAAGCAAAAUUUUAUGAUUGUGUUAUGAAGUUCAACCUUAAAUUAUUUACUUUAAACUUACAAAAGUAAUCUUAAAUUUCAUGAAAAAUUGAGAUAAUAGUCAAAUGCUUUCCAAAUCUAUUAUCAAAUACAUAUUUAAUUAUUUAUAUUUUACGGGGUUCUAUUACCCUUCGAUUAUUCUUGCAAUAUUUUCUAAUUAAAUCCUUAUGUAUAUUGUGAUUUGUGAACGCGUUCGUUGUUGACCAAAAGCUAAAAAUACUUGUUCUUGGUAAGUUAUUUUAGGUUACAAUUAAACCUAUAGUUUUGUGAGUAACUUCAUAAUUAAAUCAAAUAACAAAGUAUCAUGUUGUUGCAAGCAUUUUGGAUCUUGUCCAACAAUUUUUAUGUUCAGAAAAGUACGUAUAUGUAAAUAAAACUUAUAAAAAAAAUCUUUAACUUCAUUUAACGUCAGAAUAUUAUACGAACAAUUAGCUAGCUAGGAGUUAUUUAGCAACAAAAUUAGCUACAAAUUAUUAAUAAAUUUCACAAUUAAUUCUAUAUUUUCUAGCAGCGUAGAGUUCUAGCUACAUAUUCAACCGAAAUCAUUAGUCCUAAUCAAAAUCUUGUAUUAUUAAGAUAUUUAUUGAAUAUGAAUAAAUAUUUUAUAUAGAACUGAAUAUACUAUCUUUUUUUUAAAAUGAAAAAUUAUAAAUUCAAAAUUUGGAUCGGUCUUUGAAGUUAGUAUAUAUAUAUGGACCCUUAAUUAAACAAAAUUCCAAUAUAUUUUUUAAGAAAUAAUUAAAAAGCAUGUUUCAUUGUCAGCAAUCUAGAUCUAGCAAUCAAUUUUCUUCAAUUUUGUGUUACUUUCAAAGACUCAACUAAUUAUUUUUACUCCACCAUUCACGGUAGGCCAAGAAAAAAUUGUAAGUUCUAGAUUAUUUGUCUUAAAAUAUUAUACUAUAUGAUUUUUUUAAAAAAAAAUAAUAUUCUGCAUGUAUAUAUAUAAACAUGUUGGAGAAAAAAGGAAGCGUGUUAAUAUGCUAUAUGUAUAGAUUUGGCCUUAGGGUAUGUGAAUAUAAGUGUUGAGACUGAUAUAUAUAAAUAAUAUUACAAUAAUAAUUGAGUUUAACACAAAUAUAUAUGUAUAGAUAUCUGGAUAUUAAUUUCUUCCUAUACAUGUAUAUGAUAUAAUCAAUAUUAUAUCAGUAAAGAACAUAUUAAUAUAUAAUUUUAUUUAUUUUUAAUUUAAGAUUAAAUCGUUCAAAAGACUUUUUUUUUUAAAAAUUUCGUGCUAGAUUAAAAUCAAAUAAACGAAAUAUCAAAUACUUCACUAAUAAAUAUUUAGUCCAAAUAAAUUUGUAAAAACCGGUGGGAGUGUGGGGUAAGCAGACAAAAAAUAUAUUCUUAGUUCUUUAUCUAGCUGGACCAUUUUCUUUUUAUUAAUUUCUUGUUGCUAUUUUUAUUUUUCUCUUUAAAAAAGAAAAUUAUGCGUUUAAUUAUGCUUAGAUUUUUCUUGUCGAAUCGAUUUUAAUUAUGAGUUGUGUGUCGGUACCUAAAUUAUAUUUCGUCAAAUCACAAGGUGUAAUGUGUAGACUUUUUAAGAAUAUGUCCGAGUCAAAUAGCAAAUUAAAUUAGGAACAAAUAUAGAAAAUUAAGAUUUAUAUUUUACUUUUUAAUAAAUAAUAUUUCCUCUGUUUCAUUUAUGUAGGGGUGUGCAUCGAUCGGUUCGGUUCGGUUUUACAUAUAAUCGGUUCGGUUUAUCGGUUUUUGGUUUUAAAAUAUGCUAACCCAAUAACAAAUCAAUAAGAAUUUUUUUAUCGGUUUAUCGGUUUUUGAUGUUAUCGGUUCGAUUUCGGUUAACUCAAUAAGAAAAUGUUGAUCAAAUAAUAUAUAAUAGUACGUAUGUUAUAAUUACAUGUUACCAACUUACCGACAAAACAUAAUAGAAAACAUUGAAUGUUGAUCAAAUUACUAACGUUCACAAACUUGCAAAAGCUAUUUCCUACAAUUACGAACUAGAAUUAAACUAAAAUAAAAUAUUUCAAUGAGACAAUCUUGAACAGAUGUUUGAUCCACCAGAUAAUCAACAAAGUUCUCACCAAUUUCCUAAUCAAAAAAUCACAUAGCCUGAAAAGCUAAUAUUAAAUCUAUUUAUGUAAUAAAUUAUGUAUAUUUAAUAUUGAGGAAGGGUAAAGUAGUAAAUAACUAUCGUCUUAUUGGGUUAUCGAUUUACCCAAUAACCCAAUAGGAAAAACCGAAACCGACCCAAUAACCCAAUAAUUAUUUUUUCUAAACCCAUUAAAAAUCCAAUAACUUCAAUAACAAUAACCCAAUAACAUUUUAUCGGUUCGGUUUAUUGGUCGGUUCGGUUUUUGCACACCCCUACAUUUAUGGGACAGUUCAAAUAAGUCUAUUUUUAGUAGUAAACUUUUAUAUAUCUUUGAAAUAUUUUAAAUUGUCAAUUAUUAUUAUUUAUAGUACUUUUACAUAGUUUAUAAAUAUAUAAAUUCCAUUUCAGAAAAUUCGAAGAAUAUAUGUGUAAAUUCGCCGUCAAACUUAAAUUGUUUACCUCGAAAAAUAAAUUAUGUUACCUAAAUUAAAAUAAUUAAGAAAAUAUUAAGAAUGGCAAAUGAACAAAUUAAACUUGAAAGGAUCAAAUUAGGCUGAGUUAAUAAGCCAACAUGUAUUAUAUGGUCCACAAAUAUGAUGAAAUAUAUGAAGGAAUCCACUUUAAGAAAAAAUGACAUUACCUUUUGAUUUGUAAAGGGCUUCAUAUACUGGCAAAUGUUUUUGAAAAAGCAGUAACAGAUAAGAACUGAAAAUAGUGAGUAUAUGUCAGCAUAGUAAAAAGGCAAAUAAAAAACAGAAAAAAAAAACUAAACACAAAAAUGAAAAAUAUAUUAGUAUUUGUUCUUGAAUUGUUAUCCGAUAUUUAUAUUAAAAUUUAAUUAAAUUUAAAUUUAUUUUGAAAAAUCUUAUAUUUAGGAAUAACGAUAUGUUAAUCAAUCAAAAAUAAAAAAAUAUUUAUCACUCUAUUACGACCAUAAAUAAUUAUUACACACAUAUUUUCUGUCAGUUUUUUAGUUCUAUGAUUGGGUAAAACAGCCUUUGAAAGGAUUCAUUUUGUACUUUCAGAUUUGCUGUCUGAGGUUGGCCGAUAGUAAUUUUUAGCCGUCCAUAGAAAAUUAUAUUGUUUAUAUAUAAUUAUUAAAUAAUAUUUUUUAAAUUUAAGUAAAUAUAGUAAAUAUCAAAGUCUCUUUAGCUUCUUUGUAUUUAUAUUUUUUAAUAUUUUUUAUUUUUCUAUUAAAAAUUCUGACUCCAUCGCUAUAAUUACGAUUGAGAAAAAGAAAAAAAUUGGAAACUAAGAUAGCUUCACAUGUACAUAUAGCAAAAAAGAGGUUGUUGAGAUAGCGAAACCAAAUUUCUAUCUUAAAAGUACAAAAGACCCUUUUUCUUAAUUGAUUAUAACUUCAAAAUAUACAUAUUUUGAAUGUUAAAUUUACUAUUCAUGGAAUAUAUGUUCUUCAUAUUUUAUAAGUUGAAGUGGUUAUAUUUCCUUUUUAUUAGUCCAUCUAGAUUAGAAAAAUAUAUAUAUAGGAAAGGGAAAAAAACAUAUUACAAAUCAAAGAACUAAGUAAAAGUAUAUAUAUUUCUACAUGUAUAUACACAAGAAUAACAUACUCAAAAUCAUCUUAUAACUAGAGUUCGAAGAAGAUGACAUCUAUCGGACCUUAGCUUAUCCCUACUUUAUAUAACAGAGAAAUUAUUUUUGAUUAUCGAUAGAUCACUUUUUAGAUACGUAUAAAAUAGAAAUGUAUAAAACUUAUCUUCUAGAAAUAUACGAACAUAUUUUUUUAGCAUAAAAAUAAUGGUUAGAGUUUUAUACUUUAGUUGUACAAGACAAAGAGUAGAAAUAAAUAAGAAAAAGACACAUGAUGCAUGAUUCAUGAGUGGCCUAUUAAAAUAGUUUAAGUUAUUAAGUAGUACUUAUUUAACGUAUUCUUAAAGUUGUAUAUAUCUUUCCCUUUAAUCAUGUGUUAAGUUACCUUUUUACUAUUUAUUAUGUGAAGCUUAUGAUUAUACAUCACUUUUUUCUGUCUAAAUAUUAAUACUUUUGAGAACCAUUAUUUUACAUACAUAUAAAAAAAAAAUUAUGUCGGACAGCCGCAUUAUGAAUUUUACAAACAUUUUAAUUUUUCUUCAAAGUGUAAUACAAUAAAUAAAUAAAUAUAUAUAUAUAUAUAUAUGAAGUUUUACAAGUAUCGAUAGCAAAAGUUUAAGAGGAGAAAUGUUAUAAGUUAUUAAAAAUCUUAGAAAAAGAUGAAGGUAAUUCUGAUUAUAUAUGUUGAUAAUUCUCUCAACUACUUGCAAUGAGUCAAAUAAUUACGUUUAAUUCCUAUUCGAUAUUAAGUAUCUAUGUUAAGAUUUAUUUAAAUUUGGGUUUUAGUAGGAAAAAUUUCAUAUGGAAUAUGAUUAUGUUAAUGUAUUUUUUUAAUAAAGACAAAUCUAAAUUGAGAUUCGAAAUAUAUAUUUUUUUUAAAAAAAAUCUUUAUUACCGACAUAUAUAUAUAUAUAGCUUAUAUCAAAUUAAACAAGAUAAAAGACAUAAGAUUAAUCUUGAUGGAAUCAUCAUUGUUGUUCCAAAAUAUUACAAUUUAUGAUUUGAUUUUUUUUUUCCUUAAAUCCUACAUCCAAUAAUACCUUAAAAGUACAUUAUUAUAAACCCCACUUUUCAUAGAUCUACACUUGCCAUUUCCACCCUCCUCUAAUUUUCUUAUUUUUUUUAUAAAUAUAAAAUUCUAUUCCUAUACUAAAAAUAAACAAGUAAACAUAAUUUUGAUCCAAAUAUUACAUCAUAAAAAACAAAAAAAAUGAAAAUAAAAGGUAAAAUAGACUUUUUCACUUUUCCCCUUCACUUUCCUUUUUUACCCUUGAUUGAAUUCCAUAAUAACUAACAUACCACUUCACAAAUUUCCUUAACCCACUUGACAAAUCAGUUGUUGGCUUAUAUCCAAAAUCCCUCAACGCCAGGCUCACGUUAGCAUGUGUAAACGGAACGUCGCCGUUUCGUGGCAUUUUAAUAAAAAAUUUUUUAGCCUUAAGAUUUAAUAAAUUUUCGAGAAUUGCCACCAACUUCUUCACCGACACUGGUGAAGUAUUCCCCAAAUUGUAAACCCUCAAUUGCGCCGGACCUCUCUUCUUUCCGCCGCUCCCGGUGCUCUUCUCCGCCGUAUCCAACGCGCCGACGCAUCCUUUUACUAUAUCAUCAAUGUACGUGAAGUCACGCGCCACCUCUUUAUCAUCCUGAGUGACGUACACGUUAAUCGAUUUCCCCUGAAUCAUAUCCUUUGUGAAGAAGAAAUACGCCAUGUCUGGUCUUCCCCAAGGUCCGUAAACAGUGAAAAACCUCAAACCUGUUAAUGAAAGCCCGUAGAUAUGGUUAUAUGUAUGUGCAAUUGCUUCCCCUGCUUUCUUCGUUGCAGCGUAUAAACUAGCUGGUUGAUCUGUUCUGUGAUCUUCGGAGAAUGGAACUUUGGUGUUCAAUCCAUAAACAGAGCUCGAUGAAGCCCAGACUAUCGCUGGUUGUGGAUCUGCAGCUUUAGCUAUUUCUAACAGAUUUACAAACCCAGCAACGUUUGAGUUUACAUAAGAGAGAGGAUUCUGCAUCGCGUAACGAACACCUGCUUGUGCAGCUAGAUGAAGGAUAUGAGUAAAAGGAACAAUGUCGAAAAGCUUUUUCAGAAGCUCUGUAUCGUUAAUAUCACCUUCUACAAUGAAAAUCUGAUGCUUCGAUAACUGAUCUUGACGAGCACGUUUCAACGAAGGAUCGUAGUAUGAAUUGAAAUUAUCUAAACCUAAAACACCAUCACCACGCUUCUUCAAUGCUAAAGAGCAAUGAGAACCAACGAACCCAGCUGCUCCCGUCACGAGGACGGAUAGCCCGUUAGGGCGGUGGGGUGUCGAGGAGUGACGAACUUGUUUCUCCCACGACGCCCCACCGCCGUAAAUCGCGGAGGAUAGAAGGUUAUGGGUAGUGGUGUGAAUAUUAUUGUUGAAUGAUUUUUCGGAAGUUAACGGAGGGUAAUUUAUAGUGAAGAAGAAAAUAAGUAAAAGAGCCACUAAUAAAGUGACACGAAAUAAAAGCUUAGACGAUGCAGCGAUGAGUUUUGUACUAUUAACUCUUCGAAUAUAGCUAUUGUAGCGCUCUAGUUUUGUGGUUUUGCUUGUGUCAGGUGGCGAUGCCAUUAUAGUUUUCAUAACUUUAUAUAUGUAUAUGAUAUAUCAAUUUGAUUUAUUUAUCGCUUUGAUAUUGCAGAGAGUAUACGAAAGAAAGGCUAAUGGUGUUAUUGGAAAAUGGGGAGUGCUUUGGAUUGAGCAAGCCCCUGAGGAAAGAAGAGAUGAUGUUUAUAAAGGAAGAAGGAUUGGUGUGUUUGUGUGAAAAAAGGAAAAAAAAAGAGUGGUGGACCAAAGAGAAGGAGAGUGGUAUUGAGUUGUAGUUGGUUGGAGGCCACUUUCUUUUUUUAGUAUUCUACAAUCUAUAUUUUUAAAAUUAAAAAAAAAAUAAAGUGGAAAAAAAUUAGGUGAAUUGGUUUAUGAAUGGUAUCUAUGACUAUUUGAUCUCCAUUCUCUAUAAUAUUUUGAUCCAAAAUUUGAUCUUUAAGUUUAUGUUUGACUUGAUGUAAGUUUGAAAAUUUUUUAUUAGUACUCUCCUUGUGUUUUUUUUUCCUCUUCUAUCUUUUUAUUACUUUGUGAUUAUAUCUCUUUCACUUAUAAAUUACACUUUCUUUAAGAACAAAAUGAAGCUAAUGUUAUUUCAAGGACAUUAACUUUACUAAGGGUAAAUGAGACUAAAAUAUUUAAUAAUUUCAUUUUAAUUUUAUGAAAUGAUAAAUAAAUUGCGACAAGUACUUCUAAUAGUCUUGACAGUUAAUAUGAAAUAAAGAAAGUAUAAUUGAUUUAAUGUUGGAGAAAUAAUUUGAAAUACUUUAAAUAUGAAUAACAUGAGUAAAAUAUACAUAAAAUGGUCAAUCAUCUCUUAAUUUUUUUAAUUUGAUAAAAAUGGGCAUAUUUAUAAUAUCACAAACAAAACGUGAUGAAAAAUAAAAACAAAUGAUUUGUAGAAAAUGCAUGAUACUUAGAUUUUACUCUUACUUUCGAGAGUUAGAAAGGCAUGUAGUAUAUUUUAAUGAAAUUUCGAAAUGCACAAACCAAAUAUCUUGGAUAGUACAUUGGAAUUUGGAUACUUAGCUAAGCACAUUUAAUGAAACAUAAGAUUACAUCUAGAAGUGGUGAAACAUAAGUAAUUUUAUAAUAUCAUUAUAAAAAUGGAUCAAGGAAAUAAUUAUAGAUUUUUGGUUAAGAAAUGACUAUUUGACUCUCACGUCUCGAGAGUGAAUAGUAAUUAGGUCAUACUCAGUAAAUAACAAUAACUUGGCAUUAAAAAAAAAAUUACAAGUAGCUAUAUAGAUAUAAAUAAUAAAAUACUACAUUAGUGAGUAAUUAGAAUUUGUUUUCUAGGAAUAAGCCAAAUUGGUCCUCCGACUUUUAGAUAUUUAUACAAUGGUCCUUGCAUUUAUGUUAGGGUUGAAAUGCCAGCUAAAAAUUGACUCAAAUUUGUAUAAAGAAUCUCAAAACCAUGUGAGACACACAUGAGGAAUUUAUUACAAGUGUAAACACUGAUCCUUGACUUACGUACUCUUAUUCAACAUUAUACAACUAACGAACGGAAUAUGGUGGAUUGAUAUAACUGAUUAACUUUUAAUUAGAGAUUAUAUCAAAUUUUGAGUUCUAAAUAUGAAAAGUAUCAUGUUGAGAACGAACGAACAUUACAAUAUGUGAUUCAUUUUCAUUAAAGUAUAAAACUCAAUCGUUAAAAAUAAAGCAUGAAAAGAGUAUGAUAUAACAAAUCUUAUUUUUAUGGAAAUAAAGAGAUUUUUCUAAUAAAUUUCGGUUCAAAAGAAUAGUUUACGAAGCAAGAUUUGCCAGAAUAUAUGAUAAGAUACAAGGCAAAUGAAAUAAGUAGUAAUAGAUAUAUUGAAGAAUAAGAGACUGUGAAAUAGUUUAUAAAAAAAUAAAAAAAAUGUUUAAGUUAAUUAGAAAUUACUAUUGUUGAUUUAAUUGAUCAUUUGUCUACAAAAAUAAUGACUUUAAAAAUGGAAUUGAAAAGUCAUUAUCCUCUUGUUUUACUUCAUUAUUAUUAUCAUUUUAUGUUGUUGCUUUCCUUUUUCCUUAUUUUAUCUUUUAGUAAUAAUUUUUUUAUAUUUAUUAGGAAUAUAAAGUGUACGACCGUUUGUGUGUCACCGACAAAAUAUUUUAAACUAGAAUAGGCAAUUCUAAUUAUUAAUGAUACACACCUAUUUAAUUAAUGAAGGGUUAUAAAUGGUUUAGAUCUAGGGUUAUAAUUUGGACAUAUUAAAAAAAAGUUCUAUUAUUUGUCAUAUUUUGUUAUGUUUUUGGAACUAUUAUUCUUAAUUGAAGUGCUAAUAGAGCCUGCACAGAAUAGCCAAUAAAUGUGUCAAAAUCGAUAAAUCGACUAUAUAUAUUUUAACGUGAAUCACAUAAAUUAUAUAGUAAGACAUACAUCAAUAUAUACAAACCAAAUUUAAUGUCACGAAAUAUUUUAUUUUAUGUUUUUUAUAUUUACAUUAUUUGUUGAUUUUGAAAUUUUGAGAAUUUAUUGAGAGACUGAACCUUUAGGUAUAGGCACAUUCAUCAUCACAGUGCACUGGGAAAUACAACGUGCAUGUGCAUGGGUAGUGAGUGACAACGUAGUUUACGUAACAAAUUCAUUGAACUAACUUUUAAUUCUAUGUAUAAUAAUAAUAUUACUAAAUAUAUUUUGCUGAUUUUACAAAAAUUGUCUUUUUAUAUCAAAGUUUCAUAUGGAACGGUUCGGCCAAAAUUGUCAAGGCACUUGGUCAAAGUUUAAAUCAUAUUAGGAAAAUAUUUAAGUAGCCUCUCAACCUAUGUCCGAAAUUCCAGAGACACACUUAUACUAUACUAAGGUUCUAUUACCCCUCUGAACUUAUUUUAUAUGUAAUUUCCUACCCCUUUUUAGCCUACGUGGCACUAGUUCGAAAAAAAAUCAACCAUCGUUGGGCCCACAAAAUAGUGUCACGUAAGCUAAAAAGGGGUAAAAAAAUAUUAAUAAAAUAAGUUAAGGGGUAAUAGGACCUUAGUAUAGUAUAAGUGUGUCUCUGAGAUUUCGGGCAUAGGUUGAGGAGUACUUGGGCAUUAUCCCAAUCAUAUGAACUAACACUAUAAGAGAUAUUGAUGAACAUGGUUUGUGAUCGAUUAAUCGAACGUUUCUUAUUAAUUAGGUAUUUUAGUCCCUUUUUAUUGUAAAUUUUCCGAUCAUACCAAUCGUAGUUUCAUUAUUCUCAUAGUUUCAUGUCACCAAAUAAUUUUGUUAUUAUCUAUUGUUUUUUUGUAUUUCGGCUAUAUAAUUACAUUAUUUUUUAUUGUCUUGUUUGAUCAAUGUCGUGUAAUUAUUUUCCCUAUUGUUUGUUAUAUAUAUAUAUAUAUGCUGUUUUUUUCGAAAUUAUUAUGAUAUAUGUUAUUUGAAUCGAGAGAUUAUCGAUAACAUCCUUAUGAGAUAACAGUAAAUUAAAAUAUAUCUAUUUACUCUAUACUUCACGAAUUUUAUUAUGAUAUUAUACUGAAUAUAAUAUUGUUAUUAUAUAGUUGAUUUUGAGCAUGAGAGACUGCCAAAUUAAAUGUCUCCAAGUAAGAAGUGGAACUCAUAACAAAAUUGCAUGUUACGUCGGUGUUGUUGACAUUAAAAUAAAUACUAUAUACCAAUUAGAGGAGAAAAGGCAAAUUAAAUGAAGGUUCACUUCAUACACACAUAUACAUCAACUUCACUUUUUAUCACAUGGAGGCAAAAAAUUAAUAGAACAUUGAAGAAGGAGUUGUGGGAAUAGAGAUGGGGACCCUAGGGGGGUGGGGGGUGGGGAAUAUGGGGAUUCAAGCCACUCAAAAUAUUAUAAAAAUUUAAAACAAAUUAAAAUUGUCAAAUAUACCUAAGUUGAGUUGUAAAGGUAUCAAAGAUACCUUGUUAAAAUGAAAAUCAUACGAAGAAUCAAGAUUUUUUCUUAAUAAUCGAAUACUUUUGUCAGUAAAUAAAUAUCGAUUAAUUGAGUUUGUAUCACAAAAAGAAGAGUGUAUUGUAGCAUAUAAAUAGCUUGUUCAUAUAUAAAUUCAAUAUUUUAUCGUUUAGAACUUUAUAAUUUUUUUUAAAAAUAAUUUAUUUUUUUAAUCUUGAAAAUUCAACUAACGUAUAUAGUUGAAAAUCUUGAAUUCUCUUUUAGGGGAAACACAAUUCUAGUUAAAGAUGGAGGAAUUUUAUCAUCCGAUCACAACUCUUAAUGGAAGCCCAUAAAUAUUUUAAUUUCACGAAUUAAGACAAUUAAUAUUUUACUAUUCAAUUUUUGCUUUUAUUAAUAAUGGAUUAUAUCUUAUCAAGAAAUUGAUUAAUACCUAUAUUAUACACUAUGCAAAAGACAAUUGAAAAAAUAAAAUUAUAAGCCAACAGUACUACAUUAAAGAUUUGAUCUAUCAUUUAUUGUGUUAAAUAAAUAAAUUGAAUAAUUAGAGUUAGGUCGACUUUAAUUUGAUGGGGCUAAGGUUGGCUCAAUAUUGGAAUAUAAAAGAUAUUAACUGUUUUGUUUUUAUAUUUUUGUACUUUUAGAAUUUCACUUAUUAUAUAUGGCCUUAUCUAACAAGUAUGUACUAUCCAAUAUGUACUAACUCUUAAUGUCAUUUUUAGCAUUUAACAUGAUUAUUUAUACGAUAGUGAUGGUCAAUAAGAUAAUUAUAAAUAAGAAAAAUAGUUUGAAGCAGAUUAAUGAUGUCUAGAUUAAUAUGUUGAUUUUACACAUAUAUGUAGUACAUGUAUCAUAAAUAAAUUAAUGUACCUUAGAAAUUCAUUGAAGUGACUUAUUCAAAUGGAAAUUAAUACAAAGAUGAUUAAUUUGAUAUGCUGUUUUUUUUUUCAUUUUCAAAAAUUUGAAUUUAAGAACCUAGAUAUAAUUGUGUCAUAUUUGAGUGAUUACAUGAAUGUUAGGUUCAAAAGAAAAAUCUGAUAAAUAGAGGAAUUGACUGAAAUCCAUCUUUAAGUUUUUUUAUUACCAUUAUUCCCUAUUAGUUUUAUAAAUUCCCAAAAUUUCUCAUCUUCGUGCAUCAAAGUAUGUAUCAAUGCAUCAGAUUAAUGUAUCUCGCGCAUCAGAUUAGUAUAUCAUGUAUAAAAUGUAAUGUAUCUUAUUUAACGAUUAAUGUAUCUCGCACAUCAGAUUAAUGUAUCAAUGCUUAUAUUAUUGUAUCAGUUUGAAAAUUUUUUGUAAUUAUAAAUAUAUAAGAUACAAAUAGUAAUUUUACUUUAAAAAUAUGUGAUUUCAAUCCUUGUUCUUUGAUAUUUUAUGAUAAUUUUUCUUUGAGGAACCAUAAGGUAAAAGUGGAGCUUUAUUCAUAUAUUAAAAAUAGUUAAAUGAAAUAAAAUAAUGAAAAAAAGGAACCAUAAUUUCCAUUUGCCUAGAAACAUAAUUUCGAUGAAUAGAAUUAUUUAAUAAAAUAGUUAAAAUGCGAACAAAUUAAUCAAUCAUUACCGAUCAAACACAAAGAAAGAAACACAAAUUCUGAUAAAUUUGAAAAAAAUAUAUAAAAUCAAUUGCAGAUUUUAUAUUUUAUUUUACCUUCCUAAUUUUAAAUGCUGAUCUUUAUUAUUACUCCUAGACCUUCUAAAUAACCUUAUCCAACUCAGGAUAUUUCAAAUGAUCAUGAUAUUGACAUAUUGAUGUCACUGGAUUUAUUUAUUUAUUGUUACUCACUUUUUAUUUUAUUUUUUUCCUAAAGUAAAAUUGAAAAAGUUAUUAAUUAAUUGAUGCCCAUUUCCUUGUCAAUCAUUGAAUUAGAUAUGUGCCGACACUCUUAACGAUGACCAAUUUCAAUCCUCUUCAUAUUAGAAAACAAAACAACAAAUCAUUUUAUAAUAGUUCGAUAUUUAAUUUAUAUUGAUAUCUGAUUAAAUUUAAUUUAGAGAAUAGGUAAUGUGAGAGUAAACAUAAUCUAUUGGACAUAGUAGUAUAGUGAUAUCAGAUAUGUAUGUUUUUUUUCUAAAACUAUAAUGUGACAAAUUAUUAAUUAAAUGAAAUAAAUAGAAGAUGUGUUUGCUUUUAAAGGGUACCCCUACAAAGAUUUAAUUGAAGCCCACAGUUUUCAUAGAAUUUUUAGGGUUUUGAAAAUAAUGCAUGGUCCUUAUUUUUCUUGCUUUCACAACAUUGAUUUAUGGUUGGUUGAGUGAGAGGUGGAGGGAGCCAUAUUAAUUUUGACUUUCAAAGGGUUUGUUCGAAAUAAAAUAUAUUUAUACGAACAGAUUAUUUAUAUAAUUAAAUAUCAAUAUUAUUGUUGUUGUAAGUUUCAAUAAUGAUAUUAUCAUCUUUUAAUUUAUUAUUACAAAGUUAAAUUAAUGAUAUUAAAAAUAUUUAUAUAAUAUGAUUUUUAUAUAUACAAUUUAACCAAAUCCUUAUCCUUUUAGCAUAAAGUUGUGAUGUAAUUUUCAUUGGGACUACCCUAUAUACUAUUCUGAGUAAUUGGACUACCUUGUCGUCCUAAAUGUGCAAGUAGACAAGUUGGAAGUACAAAUAUUUAAUUAUUCUAUCUUUUACGAUUUUUGUUUGAUCAUAAAAUUUUAUUUUAUUUAUUAGUUAGUAUUACUGUUUAAUUAUGAAAAUUUUAAAUUUAGUUUAAUUUUUUUUUAUUUUUUACUAAUAUUUAUCAUUUACAUUGGAGCUCGACUAAAGACCUCCUAACAAAGACGAGUACGUAUUGACAGAGACUCAAAUUCGAGAUCUUUGUUUAAGAAUGAAGAGUACUUACACUCCAUCACAAUUCUUAUCUAAAGUCAUAUUUCAUUUUAUUUAAAAAAAAUUAUAUUUAUAUAUACAUAUACUAACUACAUGUUAACUUCAUUCUUCUUCUUUUUAUAUAUAUUUUAAUUUAAUAUUUUUAGAAAUAAGAAUCAUUAAUCGUGGUAGACAUGACAUGUUCUCUCUUUCUUUUUCUUUGUUGAGUAAAACCAAAAUAAUAAUUAUGAUAAUUAACACUGAAAAUCAUAAAGGUGGUAGUAGUAUAUUCAAAGCUUCAAUUUUUGCAUUUGUUUUUCUACAUUUAAUUUAUUCUUUCUUUUUAGAUUAUAUUUGCAAAUGGACAACUUAGGAUUUGCAGGAGUAGGACGAUAAAAUUCUAUGAAACAACUAAUUAAUGAGAACUGACAAAAAAAAAAACAAUGGGACAUUGUAUCAGUAAAACAUGUUACAUAUGCAAUAUAAUAAUCCAGAGUGUCUACCUCAAAUAAAAUUAACGGAUUGUAUCAAUUGGUUAUGUCGAAUUAUAUAAAAUUUAUGAAAGUUAAGUAAUUUAAUGAGCUAAGAAUGCUUGUCAAUAAUUACAAUUACGUGUUAUUUUGUUCGUUUCAUCUUAGUUAUUAUGUUUUGUAUUUUAAAUAUAUAUUAUUGACUUAAUUUAAAUAAUAUAUGUCAUUUAAUUUUUAAAUAAUUUAUAAAUUUUAAAUUUUGAAUCUGUUUUUCUGUUUAUACGAAGGAUGAGGGCACCCCUGAGCUAUAAGGACAAACCAAAAUCCACAGCGAUUCAUUUGUCCUUAAAUGUGCAAGUGGACUAGCUACUUGAACACCAAAGUCUUCAAAGACACACACUGUAUACUCCACUUAUCAAUAUCUCUCGAAACGAAUUCAGUAUUUAAAUUUUAUCGUAAGUAUUUUAUAAUUUAUUUGAUUUUUUCGAUUCAUAACAUAUUCCUUGAACUUCAUAUGUGUGUGUAGGGUUUGAGGUUAUAUUUACAAUUUGCAUUGAACCUCAAUUUAGAACUUCAAUUUCAUAUUAAAAAAAUUCAACUUACGAAAUAAAAACGAUUCUACAUCCAAAAAUUGAUCAAAAGCUUCUAAUUAAAAAUUAAAAAAAAAAGAUUUAUCACUCAAAUACAAUUUUUAUUAGUCGAAGAAAAUGAGUUGACGUAGUAAGAAAUGUCGUUUCAUUAGGUAAAUAUAAAUUUUAAGAAAAAAGCCAAACGACAAAAGUAGGAUGUCCAAAUUCCUUUUUGCUAUAUAUUUAUAUAUUCUUAUAUCACCUACUAUAUCAUUUUAUUUUGUUUUUAUGACCUAUAUAAUUAUUUAAUUUUUUUUAUAACCUAUCAUUACUAUACACACGUCCAUGAAAAAAAAUGUCGGUAGAGAACUAUAGUCCACAAGAUACUUUUAUUGAAACUUAUGGGGUUUUAAUGUAAUUUCAUGAACUAUAAGUUGUGUAUGUAUAAUUGAAUUACAUUCCCUACACAUUGACCCCACACGUUUAUAAAUGUGAUAGACACGUCCCAUCCUAUUUUUUUGUUUUGUUUCUUCAAAUAGAUUUUUCUCAUUAUUUAAUUAUGUUUUGUCACUUAAAGAAAUCGAACACAACAAUAACAUACCUAGUGAAAAUUUUCAUUACGUAAGAUCUGAGUAUGAUAGGUUUCACGCAAAUUUUAUAUCGUAGAGAUAGAUAAAAUGUUUUAGAUCUUGUGACACCUUAUCUAAGUUAAUGAAGUCUUACAUCGGCCUAAAUAUGAGAGAAAUAUAUUUAAUAUAUAAACAAGCAGGUCAUACAAAUUAGUGAUGUGAUUUAAAGUCGUAUGAAUUUAGACCCAGAGUGGAUAAUAUCACUAGUUAUUACAAAAUAACUUGUGGCUAGUAAAUUUUUGAUAAUAUAUAUUGUAGGUUCAUCAUCAUUAAAUAGAAUAAUUAGUGGUGAAUCUUAAUUAGACUUACAAUCAGCUAUUCAACACAUAUAAUUGAGAGAGAAAAUGAUUGAAAUUGUAAUUUGUUGACUAAUUAAGAGUUGAAUUUUAGGGCUUAAAUAUUUUAUUUUUAUAAACUUAUGUUCCAAACUUUAUUUUCCACGACAUGGAGAAGACUACGUAUAUGUUGACUUUUGUUACUAAUAUUGUUAAUUGAUUGAAAUACUCACGUAUUAUUUUUUUUUCAAAUUUUCAUCAUUUUAUUCCAAUAUUAAGUAAACUUUGCUUCUUUUAUUAAAUUGGUUAAGCAUCAGGUGUCUCAUUCCCAUCAUGUUUAAUAGAUGAAGAUAAUAUUUAUUUUUCAAUUUCAAUUUUGUACGAUUGUUAUCCACUAAUUUUUUUAAUAAUCACUUAGAUUUAAUAUGUUCAAUUUAGCUACAACACAGUGUUUAGAGUCUAAUGAUAUCGAUGGAAAUCUCUCAUAAUAAUGAGUGUGAGUUCGAUUCUCGUUAAUCCGAUAAGUGUGAGUUCGACUCUCGUUAAUCCGUUCUUCCCCUCUAUUGGUCCCUAUGUAAUAAAAAAUAAGAAAAAUGUUUAACUUAAAAAAAAGAAAAAAACCUAAUAAAUAUCAAUAUCUCAAAUAACAUUUAUUUUAUUUUGGUAUAUAUAUAGGUCAAAAUGUCAAUAUUUUAGCAUUUAAGAGGACUCAUUAGCAAUAAUUUCAAUAUUUAGUAAAAAUGUCAUUUUAGUUUGUUAUGUAUCUUAUUUAUGUUUUUAUUAUUUAUUUUUAUUUAAAGAAUACAAUUAUUUAAUAACAAAGAGGAGAAAAUUAAGGGGGGAAUUAUUUCAAAAAAAAGACAAGCAUCCUUAAAUUUCUCAUCAGUUACAUUUUCAAAUAAAAUUUAAAUUUUGUUUUUUUUUCUCCAGAAUUUUUGCGUUUUUAAAAUUAUAUUCAUUCCACAAUAUAUUCUAUUUAUAUUUAUUAUAAUUUUUUAUUAGUUUGUAUUCAUUCCAAUAGGUAUGCCGAAUUUAUCUAUAUAGUCAUUUAAGAAAUAUAUUUGUAUUUUCAUAUAUUUUUUCCCUAUAUAGUUAUUUUUUUCUUCAAAAAUCUUGUAUGUAUUCAUUUCAAUAUGUAUUUUAUUUGUAUUUCUAUUUAUUCUAGUUUUUAUUUAGAAUUUUGUAUAAUAAUAUAUAAAAUACAAAAAAUUAGUAUGAUGAAAAAGUGAAUGAAAUAUAAAAUUGAAAAGAAAUAAUUGAACAUUUGGUGUACUCAUUCUUAAAUAAAAUACAUAACUAGUUGACAUACCUUUAGAAUAAAUACAAAUUAAAAAAAAAUGUCAAAUUCAGUUGACAUACCUUUAUUAGUUUGUAUUCAUUCCAAUAUGUAUGUCAAAAAUAAAAUGUAGCUAUUUAAGAAAUACAUUUGUAUUCGUAUAUAUUUUUCACUGUGUAUUUAUUUUUCUUUUCAAAAUCUUGUUUCAUUUUCUUAGUCGUAUUUAUUCUAAUAUGUCUAUUAUUUGUAUUUGUAUUCGAAGACAAAUAAACUAAUAGAAAGUUGUUCUUCUUAUAAAUAAAAUACAUAACUAGUUGACAUACAUUUGGAUGAAUACAAAUUAAGGACAAAUACAAGAUUCAUAAACCAUGCAACAUGAAAUUUUUAAUAAAUACAAAUAUUGAUAGUAUACAUAGUGAUUUGAAUACAAAUUAAGAAAGCAUACCAAAUUCUAAAAAGGAACUAUAAAUACAAAACAAACUAAUAGAAAAUUGUUCGACAACUAUCCGAUCUUCGUCGUCUUUUUCAAGAUCCUCACGAGUAGACAAAGAUUCUACAUUUGCGUUCUAAAUUUGAGGAAGGUUUUGCACACCAAUGAGUCUUGUAAAUGUUCUUACCCUCUUUCUUCCCUCAUUUUAGCAGCGGAUCAUACAUUAUACAUUAUUUGUUAAGUAAUAAAUAAAUUAAAGGAUGAAAAAUCACCAGAAAUUGGUUGAUUAAGAUGAAUACCUCUAGUAAGCCUCUUAGAUUCAGCCAUUGAAGAGUAAAUCAGAAAUUGAAAAAUACAAACAACAUUUUUUUAAGAUUUAAACAAAAAUAAAAUUAGAAAAGAAAUCUGAAUAUAGGAUAAAGAUUAGAGAUACCUUAAUCAAAGGGAUUCUUGUUGAUUCAAUUUUGGAUUAAAAAAACAAUCAAAAUAUAUGGCAAAAAAAUAUUUACAACUUGAAUGUUGGAGGAAAAAUCAGAAAAGAUAACCAUGAGAGAGAGAAAAAAUUAAAUGGGAAAGAGAAUUAACAAUUUGAAAAGAUAAAUAUGAGAGAGAAUGAUUUAUUUAUUUUUUAAAAAAAAUAUAUAGAAUUAAUUGAAAAAGAGAGAUAAAAUAGGAAGAAAAUUGGGACACAUAAAUUUUUUAAAAUAAUGACAUUUUUGACAUUAUUGCUAAUAUUUAUUAAGUAUGGAUAUUUUUACUAAAUAUGUUAUUUAUUUUGAUUAGUUUACUAAUUUUUCCAUAUAUAUAUAUGUGUGUGUUUUUAGUGAUGUAAUUGGAUAAUAAAGGAAUAUCUAAAAUCCAAGUACACAAAAGGCCCACCCACAUGCAAUGGAUUAAUAAGUCAAUACUUUGAGUUGCUAUCAUCUUCUUAACGUAUUUCUUAUCUCAAAGUCACAUUCGACUUUUUUGAAAUUAAAAAAAAAGAGACAAAAAGUAUUUUUAGUUACCAAGAUCUCAACUAUCAUAAUCAUCUUAUGUACUGUUUUCCACCCUACAAACUCUUGAUAAAUUCCAUGAGAUAGUAGUAAAAUUGGAGGAAAACAGCUAACUUGAAAAUGAGGUUGAGAUGGUUCGGAUAUAUGAACAGAAGAUAUAGAAAUGUCUUAAUCAGGUUGUGUACUGAGAGGUAGAGAAACGCUAAAAAAGUAUGUGACUAGUGAUUACAUAGGACAUGACACAUAUGUAAUUUAUCGUAGACGUGACCCUAUAUGAGGAUAUGGAGUAAAUAUAAAUAGAUAGUUUAUAGUCGAGUACGGUCUAUUCCUCUUAUUGGCAUAUAACUAUUAUGACUAGCUCUCACUACCUUGUUGUUGUGACCGCGUGUUCUUUUCUUGCUUCUUCGGUUUUCGUAAUCUUUUACGUUGUUAUUAUUAGUUUUUACAUUAUAUUCUUAAUUAUACAUGACUUUUUUACUGUUGUAUUUCCCUUUUAUAUUGUUUGAUAUGCUUUAUCUUAAUUCUUACGUGAUGAUGAUCUAUCGGAAACCACAUCUCUAUCCUCACAAGGUAGGAGUAAAACGAACAUAUUACCCUCUUCAGAACCCACUUAUGGAAUUUCGUUGAAUAUGGGCUAUAUAAUGACGACGGGGUAAACUCAUGAAUUGGGGCGGGCCACCACCACAUGACCCAGGGAAUUUAUUACCAGGCCCAACCCAAAUUAGAUAUAUAAGGUAUGGAUUGGGCCUGUGUCACAUAGUAGGUCCAAACAUAAAAUACUCUUGAGAGAUUUUUUGCUUGAUUAGUGAUCAAGAUGAGCAUAUAAAUGGAAGUAUUUAUGCAAAUAGUCACUUCAUGUUUAUGAUAGGUGUAUAAAAACUUGCAUCAAAGCAAAAAACCUGCUGGUCAACGAACACGAGAUAUCGAGUAAAUCUGUCAGGCAAAGUUAAAUAACAAUAGGCUCAUAGUAAACGUUGUAGCUGAAGGUUCGAACCUGAGAUCAUUAGAUUGUUACUCAUAUAUGCCUCAACCACUCGAUCAUUCUCUCGGAGACACGUCUCCUGUUUUUCCAUUUACUUUCUUUCAAAUAUGAGAGAAGAGAAUACCUUGUAGAACGGAAGGAUUGAAGAAGAAUCAAGCCUCACAUAAGUAAAGUUUCGAGCUCUAUUCAAACAUCAAGGCUGCACUCUUACCAUUGAACCAAAGCCCCGGGGGCUAUUACAUUGUAAGAAUCAUGUAGAGGGUUUAUCUAUUUUACAACAGCAGCAUUACCUAGAACGCUUUAACUUAUAAUGAGGUUUUAUAAUUAUGAUUUCAGUAACAAUUACUUGCACAGCAAUGUGAGACAUGGAACUUAACUACAUAGUAGAAAUGAAUGAAUAGCUUCCAUGGACAAAGCUCGAGUAGAGCUUACUUUCUGAUUAAUGAAGUUCAAGCUGCAUUUCUUCUCAGCGACCAAAGUAACAAGAUCCUUCACCGGCCAAAGAACCUAUCUUCACUCUUUGUUAUCAACAAUCUCCGGAAGGCUCUGCAGUGCCUGUGAUGGAAAAAGAUAUUCAUACCAACAGGGGAGAAAGAGAAAAGAAUAUGAAAUGGUGAUUGAACAAUGAUUCUUGCCACUGACCUGAUAUAAGUACCAGGAAACAAAGGCAUCUGUAGCAGCAUAAUGUAGUUGGUCCCUAGAUAACACAUUAGCCUCCCAAUUCCCCAACCUGAUAUUACUUGGCUUUGGGAGCUGCAAUGAAUUAAAAAAAUCAGUUGAAUCUCACACUUAAUUGGAAGAAGAACAACUGGAAAGAUUUGGAGGACAUUGAAGCACAACAUAGUUAAUGUAGUAAGAAAAAAUUUGUUCAGCAAGAUUUACAUUCACUUCAAGAUUCCAAAGCUUCCAAUUCAGAAAAAUUAAAGGUUGAUUGAAAAUGUCGGGUCAUGAAAAGGAUUAGGAAAAGGAGGAGCAAAGCAACACCGUAAGGUCCUCCGUGAUGACAUUCAGGGUAUACAUAAAGCCACCCAUUAGGCAUUUGGCACAUUGAGGAGACUCGUGGGAUGCUCAAGAUCUACUUUGGAGAGAGAAUGUGUUUCCUGAUGCUGUUACUUACAGUGAGCAUGCUAGGAGGAAGACGGUGACUGGCACGGAUGUUAUGUAUUCCCUCAAGAGACAGGACAGGACUGUACGGUUUUGGGGGUUGAGAGGAGAUUUGGUUCUGUCCUUAGUUUUGUCUGCAAAGGUCUCUCUGUCAAGAAAAGCACAAUAGUUAUCUUAAUGGUUGGUAAUGAAUAUAGUUUUUGUUUGGGUGGUGGCAGUUCCAAUCUUGUGUAAUAAUGAAUAUAGUUCUACUGUAGUAGUACCAGUACUUUUGUCAUUUGAGAUUUGGUGGACUCUUGUUUCAGAAUUUCUAAAAUUUGCUCCAAUUCAGUAUAUACUACUGACUGAUUCAAAAAAAAAAAAAUAGAUUUUACAUUCUAAUAUGCACAUAUGUAUAGCAGUCAGCAAUGAGGUAGCAUUUCAACUUGGUCUCUUCUUUAAAAGUUGCCAAGUUUGAAGUUCUUUUAUAGUUUUUAUAGACCUUAACAAUUCAACUAAAAAACCUCGAGUCUAUAGAUACGAAACUGACUAGAACAGUCAAGAAACUAGUCUCGGAUUACCCCUUUACCCCCUCCCUGACCCCUGGGGUCAGGGAUCUCAAAAGCAGAAAGGAAAAGCAGAAACUAAAAGACCUGCUUGGCAAGAAGCUUCUCAGUUAAUGAUGCUAGACUCCACUUCUUGGGAUCAUCAAGCUUUUUGUUGGCAAGUUCGGAAAGAUCUUCCAAAGCCUUCACAGAUACAUUGUGAUCUUGGCGAACUUUGAAAGCAUCAUUUGCAAUGCAAACACCCACCUAGGUUUGUUCGAACACCAUAAAGUUAAGAAACCACAUCCUAUUAUAAUUCAUUGUUUGAUUAAUGUUACCAGAAAAAGCAAACAAAUGCCAACCUUCACAACAGUUGGAUCCUCAAGAAGAGAUUGCAGAGUUUGAGGGAUUCCGGAGUGGAUGAUAUGCAAAACAUAACAAUUACCCUUGUCACCACAUAUCUGCAUAACAGCAGCCUUCCCAGGUGGCACACCUGAAGAGAACACCUAUUAUUCUGUAAUCACUAUAACUUACAACAUUCCACUUAACACAAGUAAAAUGAAGCAGAAAAUCCAUUUAAUUACGGAUGUGAUAACUAAAACAAAAGGUCGGGGGGGUUAUAUUCGCCUACUUAUAGACUAAAGAGCAUGUCUAAACAACUAGAGCAUGAGUGCAAGAAGUGAAGCCAAACAGGAACAUACAAAAGAAUAAUCUCUCAAUAAUAUAUUUUAGGAGAAAUUUUAUAUAGAGAAAAGAAGUCUUUCUAAUCACCACAAGUAUACUAAGAAACUCUUGGUAGACAUAUCUACUAAAGAUGCAGAUGUAAUCACUAAGAUGCAUGCAGUGACUUAUGCCUGUUUUCUCAAAAUAUCUUUGUCGUCAACAUAUUCUGGAUGUACUUUUCAUGACUUUUGUCUAUACACUCUGAUUGCUCCAAGAAAACAACAGCAGAUAAAGUUACAUGAUUUAGAAGAUCCAUAUAUCCAACCCCAACUAGCUCGAGAUGAAGCAUAGUAGUGGUUGUUGAAGUUUUAAAGAUAACACAAGAUCAAGUAAGUUCCGCAACAUCAAGUAUGAACUAUCAAACUUCACCAGGUGUCAAAACAAACAAUGUAACCUUUUGACCUUGUGGGAUGAUUCUUCAACAAAUGUCACAUUUUAUAACUUAUAACAUUCCAUUUAACACCCCCUCAAUUAAGCUUAGUAUAGUAAAAAGCUAAAGAAAGAGAAUAAAUGCAAAAGCUACUAAAUCGAAAGACUGAUAGGAUUGUAGAACUACUCAAGAAUUCUGAUUAUAGUUCUCAUAUUUCAGACAGUAGUGAAACUAUUUAUUCGAAACAUUGAACUGACCUCUUCUAAAAGUGGGCUUCCAUUCAAUGUCAAAUCCAAGAGCAACAUUCCCUUCUUUCCUCUUCUUUUCCUCAACAAAAUUUAACAGCUCUACUGCAGAUUUCUCCACCUCGUUAAUAGUUCUGCUGUAUAUAACACGUCCUUUAAAGGACAUUUCCGGGUAUUGCAUCACUAUCUUAGCUGCUACAUCAAAAAACAAAAACAAAAACGAGGACAUUAAAAUCCUUUAACAAACUAGCAACCAUUUAUAAUAGACAACAUAAACAAUUUAUGACUACUAAAAGCUCGAGAGACAAUUUUUUUGGAGCAGUAAAACAGUAUCCCAAACUGUGUUCCUCCAUUCAGUUUACCUAGCUUAUUCUAAGUACUCACCUAAAAAGGGUAAAUAGUGUGCAGGCUUGAUUCUCAUUAUAUCGAAUUCAUAAUAAAUGUUCGCUAGCAUAUCGAUCCAUUAAUUCACUAAAAUGGAAAUUAGCCUAAGAUUUACCAUAAACCUAAAAAAUUAAAUCUUUAGAUGAAAAAACAAAAUACUAAUACCACACCUAAAUUGUUUCCCUUCUGAAUUUACUUUCUGGUGUUCAAAUAUCUAAAACUAUUAAACACAGAACUAAGUUAUUUUCUCACUAUAGAUAUUUCAUAUAAUUUACUUGAUUUCUACUAUUUCUUUAUGACUGUGGUGUUUGUCCAGCUUUCACUCACCUCGACUAAUUUCGUGGAUAACUUCACCUCCCACCAGUAACAUCCCUGAUUAACAAUUUACUACAAUUUGGCAAAUAGAGCUAAAAUUUAAAAAAAAAAAAACUAGUUACACAAGAAAAUAACUUCUUUCAUGGAUAGUAAUUAACAAUUUACUACAAUUUGGCAAACAGAUAGGAGAAACCGUCACCUUGAUUAGAAGAACGAGAGGAAUAGCUACACCGAGACUGAUUUCUAGUGCAAGGAGACAACAAUGACGAAUCGGAAACCUCAUUUUGUUGAUGAUAUACAAAAAGAGAUGCCGGCAAUUUCCGGCGACUUUUCCGACGGGAUUCUUCGCCGGCGGCGACUACAGAAUCGCUUUUUCUCUUGGUAGCUGAUUCAAAUGCAGCAUCUAUCUCUUGGAGUUCUUCCUCUGUAAAAGGUCGAUCCCAAUCGUCUAAUUCGCCGGAGAUCGGAGUUCCCAUUUUCGCUAAAUGAGUACAAAACUGAUUUUUCUUUUCUUUUUUUUUUUGGCAGCAAAAAAUAGCGGCACUUUUGAGCUUUGAUUUUUUAGUUUUUUUAUUUGUAUUGUACUCCCUAAAAGUUUUUUACUAUGGUUUGAUUGACCCAUUAUCUAUUUGAAAAUUACACUUUUUACCCACAAAUCUCAGAGAUACAAAUAGUCAACCUUAAUUAAUUUGGAACGAAUAAUAUUAAACAAUAACUAUAUUACGCCACAAUUUCGAGUAAGUUGAGGUCAGCUAUAAAAAUCUCCACGUGACCAUAUAGCUUUAUUUAAGCUUGUAUCAAAACUAUCCCUACUAAUAACAAACGAUUGCUCGUGAUUUGAACAUGUCGAAUCACUUCGAACGGAUCUAUUGCAAAUCCAUUUCUUGGCCUCAUAUGAAAAACUGAAGCAUUUUAUCUAUUGAUAGAUGAAGAAUCACGAAAGAUCAAAGGCUAUAUAAAAUAAAUAUUUAUUACUGUAUGUCAAAUUAUGUAUGACAUACCCUUUAUACAUAUGAUACAACAAACAUUUGUUGAAUCACACAUAUUAAUACUAAAUUAAUAUUUCCAACAUAACAAAUCGAAAUAAAAUUACUUAAUGUGGGCUAUUAGCUGCAACAAGUUUAAGAAUUUCUAAAGGAAUAUGAAUAAAUUUAACCAAAGCAUUACGUGCAUUAGCAACCUCAGCAAUAUGAUUAUCAACAUAAUCAUCAACAUCAACUGAAUUAGUGGUACGCAUUGCCUUAAGACGAGGAUAACACACUUCGAAAUCCGUUAUCGCGGUCGUAUAAUAAUUAAUCGCAUCUUUAAACGCGUCAUUAACCGUUGAAUCGACCGCGUCGUCGAUUAACUCGAUAGCCGGUAUAAAAUGAUCGUUACAAUCACUUAAAGCUUGUUGUGUAUCGGACGAUAAUUUGUCAUCAUUGUUAAGGAGCUUCAUACGGACCGUUAUCGACACAUUAGUGGCCUCUUGUUCGAUUUUUUUAAGCGCCAAAAAGCCUAUUGUUUUUAAAUCGGCUUUUUGGAGCGAAUCGAGAUCGGCUUGUGACCUGUCUGUUUGAAUCCAUGAAAUACAUUCAUUAUUGUUGUUACAUGCUUUGGCAAGAUUUGGAGGAAUAAUAUUUAAGGCUUGAGGUUGAAUUCUUCCAUUAACAAUAGGUAAUUGAAGAGUUAAGCAAAGGAAAAAGGCUAAAGGAAUUAAUUUAAUAAGAAAAGAAUUUGACCUCCUUGAUAAAGAAAAGGAGAUCAAAGCCAUAAUUAGUUUUAUUUUAAAAAAAACUUUUUUUUUCCUUUUUUUUUUUUAACCCCAAAUUUACUUGAGUAUUAUCAUUGUUCUUUUCUUGUUUUCUUUGUUUUAUAUGAAAAUUGUUAUUGAUAGUUGAAAAAGAUUGGUAGAGAUAAAUGUUCUCUUUACCACCCUUUAUGAAUAGAGGUUUUUAAUAAAAAUUGUGGGGGGUUCAAUUAAUUUUAUUUUUGUUUUGUAAAAAUGAACUAAAAUUGAGGGAUUGUGUUUUUCUCUUUGUAGUGACCAUUCAUUUGUUAAGAAAUAAUUUUUUUGAGGUAAAAAAAAAAAAGGAAAGCUUAAUCAUUCUUAAAGAUCUUGUUUUGUUGUAAUGUCUUCAUUUUUAAUCUUCUUUUAGGUUUUGUGGUUCUUAAAGUGUUAAAUAUGGUAGUAACAAGUGAAAUCUAGAGAAGACGAUGUAUACACAAACCUAACUUUUUACCUUUUGAAGGUAAAAGAGGUGGUUGUGAUAAACCUUCGGCUCUAGUAACACAUUUUAAUCAAUCUUUCGUCUUUCAUUUGAAUUCACAUGUUCUCGCAUGAUUUUCACCCACUUUCAUCGAUCGAGAUAUGCAAGUAAGCCAUAAUCCAUGAAUCUCCAAGAAAAUGGACUUUGAAAAUUGAGAUACAAAAUGCAACAAGCCCAAGUAUAAGAUCAUAAGCUUUGUAACCAAAUGUAACAUCAUUCUCAUUUUAAAUGUUAAAGGCACACCUUUACAAACUAUAAUGACAACAACCAAAAUCUUAGUAAAGGUACCAAAACAUACUAUUGAGAUACCUAAUAAAUAGUAACUUAAUCUGAAUAAGAUCCCCAAUAGGAAAAAUAUGGAACUAUGGAGAUUGAUGAGAAGUUAAUUUUAUUCUCACGUGAAUGGAGCAGCAACAUUUAGUCGUGUAGCUAAGAGCAUAAGAUAAAGUCUUGAACUUCACACUAGCAUCAACAUGUCUGGUCUUAAAGAACUAUAAGAAACCACUACUCAGAUGGUGAAUUUGAUAGUACUCGGGGACCAAGGAUAGCAAGAAACACCGAUACUCAUUCUCAGCGCUUGGAUACUACAAGAUAUCAAGAUAGAAAAAGCUUCCUACAAGAAGAUAUCAUGCUCUUCUCAUAAUAUUUGUGCAGCAAUAGAGACAAUCGUAUGGUGCUGUACUACUAUCAAAGCCUGAGACCAAACAAAACAGUCACGUAUUUCAGUUCCUAGAAUAACUUAGUCUCGAAACGUUGACAUAAGAAUAUGAUAGAAAAUCCUUCUUAAAGUCACAGUGUAACAAUGAACCAUGAAUGACUAAGUAGACUUAUACACCAGAGCCAUGAGCCCCUUGGAAAUAUUAGAUACAUAACAACUGCCAAUAGCACAGAGCUAUUUAAGUAAUUCGGAACUUGUUUAUUUUCUGUAAGUCAAUCAUUCAGUUGCUUCUUUUUUUCUAUCCUAUUCGACACUUGUUAAAAUGUUGUAUUUAUGCAAGAGUCUAGGGGGUAAAAAAAGAGGAACAUUGUUCAAAGUUAUCGUUUAUAAAUACUGAUGAUUUUUGUGAGCUAUAGACCAGAUUGCGUCAGUAAGCAGCGCACAACGAAUUGCUGUAUCUCCUAAGAGACAAUGUACUUAAGAAAACUGAAGGUUCCCCUGCCCCCAUUUUUACAUGACUCAUAGCAGCACCAAGUCAUAAUCCCGAAUAGAGAAUCACAUUGAUAUUCACGCUUUAUUAUUUUAAAUUGCAACCACUUAGAAUAACAAGCUAGCAAUUCAGAGAACAAUUUUAUCUUUUGACAGGUAUUAAGAGGAGUAAUUUUCCACUGAGAUAAACAUUAUAAGCUACAAACUUUUAUAAGCAGUGGAUGCAAGAGCUACUGGGGAGCCACUUCCUGCAAAUUAUUAGGGAGCACCAACGAGCAAACCUAAUAUGAAACAAUUUAAUGCAAAAUACAAAACAUACGAACCUCAACGUAAUCCAAAAAUCUCUUCUGGAGGAUCAUAUAUGUGCCGAUCCGGAAAAAUCUCUUCAAAGUCUUGCUUAACCCUAUUUCUUAAUAGUGGGUGUGGCAAAAGUCCCUUCAACAAAACCCUGAAAGGUAGCUCCUCAGGUGGGUAUGGAGACUUCUUCAUGUCUUCAAAUAUAUUCAUAGCAUCUGCAGGAGAUCCAUCUCUCAAGAAUCCCCUAAUAACUUCAGUGAAUGUCUGACAAUCAGGAAAUAGAUCUUCCUUUCUCAUACUCUCCCAUAACUUCAUUGCAUCAUCCAUUUUUCUCCGUCUCGCCAACGCAAUGAUCAGGUCCUUGUAAAGAUAGACAUCGGGUUGGUACCAGGCUUGUUUCUGAAUUACCCAAAACACCUGAAAUACAAACAACUAGCUGUGUGUGAUAAUGCCAUUCCAUAUGCCCCAAAAUAGACUUCGAUAAAUUAACUGAAAAUGACAUUAGCACGCAUAUCAAGAUUCAAAAUGUAUGAUCUCAACCAAAAAGGAAACAAAUAGAAUAGCUUUAAGCAGAUAUCCGAAAAAGCAACAGCACAAUUUUAACAAUGUUUUGCCCAUUUGAUAACUUAAAAUAGAACAACUUCACAAGAAAAAAAAUUAUAAAACCACUGAACAGCGAACACUAUUGACCAAUUCUCUUAUUUAUAUUAUGAUCUAAUAUAAACACCUUCUCCAACGACUCAUCACCAAAGCACUGAAUGCACUUCACUCCAACUACUGCCUUAUAAGCGAAACUAUACAAGUUUUAUCGCAUCCAACUAAACUUGGGCACCUAGACGCUAAAUGGGAACAAAGAAAGAUCACAGCUUAAAGAUAAAUCCAACAGCAAUAACUUCCUCUAUUACUAAAUGCAACAAUAAAACUUCUGAAAUAGAAAUGAGAAAACAGUAGGUGAUCUUUUCACAUUUGCUCAAGCCUGGUGGGCAGAGUCACCUAGUACCCGUUUACUCAGUUUAAUUAGUCGAUGUGCGUACAAGCUGGCACGGACAGCGGUACUAAAACUACUAUUGUGCAAUUCUUGUUUACUAGUUUCACUUACUCCAUAUAUGAACAGAGAAAAGAAAAAUCACAUUUUUUGGCAUUAGAAAGCUUACCUUAACAGCAAGAGAGACUUCUUCUUGGCGUUCAAGCUCAUUAAGUACAGCAAUCAUAUCCAUUUUAAGAAGUCUAAGGACAUGUGUUUUAACAAACUUGUCAAGCUUUUCUUCAUCAUCUUUGAAUCUUCUUAACCCAAGAAUCACAAAAAGUGCUUCUUUUCCAAUCAAUUUCUUUCCCCUCCAAAGUGACCCUCUUGGUCUUCCAUCAUGGUACCACCUCACAUCCCUCACUGAACUUCUAGAAAACUCAGGAACCCAUGAUGGAGAACAUGAAGAAGAAGAUGUUAAGGUGGAAGAAAUUGAUGGUAAUGGAGAAACUGAAAGGUGUUUAAGAAGCAAAGAUGGAAUUUUUAGUCUUGAAAUGGUUCUAAUUGCCAUUUUUGAAAGAUGGCUAUGAAAGGGAAGUCUGUACGAUGGUUAUGGUGGCGGAGGCGAUGGAUACAGAGGCGCCGGUGAUGCUCCGGCGGAAGAAUCAGUGAAAUUGGGUAUUAGGGUUUGACAACUUCCGAUUAUGAAGUUGAAUUGGGGAAGAAAUAUUAGUAGUUAUUUACUUUUAGACACCUUAUGUUUUUGAAAACUAACAUUUAGUCCAUCUAGCUUUUGAAAAAUACUUAAUUGGUCCCAAAUUGUCCACCUAGGCAGUCCAACGUGUGGAACUCUGUCAGUUCCUUGUUAGUUAUCUUGCGUAUCUUUGAGAAUCAAUAUGAUUAAAUUUUAAAUUAACUCAGAGUAUAUUAAUUUUAUAUUUUUAAUUAAAAAUUAUAUAUUUAAAUACUAUACAAAAAACAUUAUAUAUUACAAUUUUUUUAUAAAAUACUAAUCAAAAGUCAUAUUGAUUGACUCUAAAAAAAAAUACUUAAUGUUAUUUCAUUUUCUUAUUAUUUUGCUUUUCACGAGCAAAAGUUUCUCCAAAUUAUUUUAUUUUAAUAUAUCGUAUCCUUUCAAUUGACACAACCAAAAAUAAUAGUUUAUUUUUCAUCUGCAGACGAUGAGUUAAGAUAUCAUGAACUUUGGGUUUUGUGAUAAACCUUUUGUUGAAUCAUUUUAAUUUAACCAAAAUUAAUGAAAUUUUAUGUCUUUAAAAUUAGAAAAAAGACGAAAAAAUUAUAAAAAGAGAUAAAUAAGAUUUCAGCUAAAAGUGCCACAUCACCAAAGCUAUAUAUAAAUAAAGGGAUUUUUACUAGUCAUAGAUUUUUUUUUAAUUAGAAUUUUAAUCAACAUUUACUAUGCAUUUUUUUAUCAUAAUGAUAUAUAAAAAAAUUACAAUCUAUAAUAUUUUUAUAUAUAAUUCUUAAAUAUUUAAUUUUCUAACUAGAAUUUCAGCUAAAAGUGCCACAUCACUAAAGCUAUAUAGAAAUAAAGGGAUUUUACUAGUCAUAGUUUUUUUUUUCUAACUAAAAUUUUGAUUAACAUUUGACUAUAUAUCUUUUUAUCGUAUUGAUAUGUAAGAAAAUUAUAAUUUAUAGUAUUUCUUUUUUAUAAUUUUAAAAUAUUUAAUUUUCUUUAAAAAAGUUAUCAAAAUAAUGUAAUAUAAUCUAACUUUUAAAAAUAAUUAAAUUAACUUUUCAAAAACGUAAUCCGUCGAAUAAAAGUCGACUGAAUAGUUAAUUAUCAAUGUAGUCAAACUAGGAUUGCAUAUUUUCAUACAAGACUCCAAAAUUUGGGGGGGAAAAAGUCAAACUAAUAAUAAUGAUGGUAAUAUCUGAAAUAGAUUAGAUCAGAAAUCUCUACCCAUAAAAUUAAUUGUAUAAAAGGAGGAAUGAUCAUAUAUAAAAAACAAAAAAAAAAACAUAUAGUUGAAUAUUUUCUUUCUAUCAUGGAUUAUUCACAUUUCAAGACUAUAUUAUUGUUAUGCAUUUUCUUCUUCUUUUGCUUUCCACAAGCAAAAGGGAAUCAUCGAUGGAACACAUACACUGUUGUUAUAUAUAAUGGCCUUCCAUUUGAUUCGCCCAAAUUAUCGAUUCAUUGUUAUUCUGCAGACGAUGAUUUAGGAUAUCAUGAUCUUGCUGCAUAUGAAAAUUUCAGUUGGAAGUUCAAAUUUAAUCAAUGGCUUUGGGCUAGAACAAGGUUCCAUUGUCAAUUUUGGUGGGACAAAAAAAGCAAAUCUUUUGUUGUAUUUAAUGAUUACGAUCACUGUAUUUUGUAUUCGCCUAUUCCUACAACAAAUUAUUGUCAAUGGACCGUACAAGAAGAUGGCUUUUGGCUGACUAACUAUAGAGGGGAUACUUAUAGAGUUUUUGAAUGGUGAACGAUAAUAGUUUAUAAUCUUAUAAUACUUUUCAUUGAAACCUUUACUUUAUAUAAAUAACAAUGCUUCUUUUUUGUUGCAUUACUGAUUUUUAAUCUUGUUGAAUUAUAAGUGUAUAAAUUGAAGUUGAUGAUUUUUUUUAUUAGUAAUAAAAGUUUAAUAAGUAUAAGUUAUGAAAAUAAACCUUAAAUAAAUAAAAGAGAAAAAAAAACACAAAUAGAGGAGAUAAAAGAAAUAACUUUAUAGGAUAAAAAUUUAUAAUAUUAUAAUACUUUUUAUUGAAACCUUUACUUUGUAUAAAUAACAAUGCUUCCUUUUUGUUGAAUUACUGAUUUUUAAUCUUGUUAAAUUAUAAGUGUAUAAAUUGAAGUUGAUGAUAUUUUUUUAUUAGUAAUAAAAGUUUAAUAGGUAUAAGUUAUGAAUAUAAACCUUAAAUAAAUAAAAGAGAAAAAAAAACACAAAUAGAAGAGAUAAAAGAAAUAACUUAUACGUAUGAUAAGUGAUUUAAGGAAAUUAUACAAAUAACACCAAUAACAAGAUUAAGAGAAAACAAAAAUGUGAAAUUGAGAAAAAAAAAUAGGAAAUAAAGAGAUUAAUAGAUUAAUUGAUGAAAGAAAUUAAAUAUAAUAUCCUUUCUAUUCUAUAAAAUCUUAUGUAUAAGAAAAGAUACUAAUAGUAUAGAUGUAAUGAAAGGAAUUAUAAAUAUUACUAUUAAUAAUUCUCAAUAAAAUUUUAACGUGGAAUUUUAUAUGAUUUAAAAUUAGAAGAAAAAAAAAGAUUAAAAAAUGUAAUAGAUAAAUAAUUUUUUUUAAAAAAAGAUCAAAAAGAUACUAAUAGUAUAGAUGUAAUGAAAGGAACUAAAAGUAUUACUAUUAAUAAUUCUCAAUAAAAUUUUAAGGUGGAAUUUUAUAUCAUUUAAAAUUAGAAGAGGAAAAAAGAUUUAAAAAUAUAAUAGAUAAAUAAAUUUAAAAAGAAUAGAUCAAAUUCAUUCAAUGUAGAUUGUAGUCAAACUAGAAAUGUUGAAUUUCUUUAUUCAAAGACUCCAAAACUAGAAAAGGAAUAAAGUCACUACAAAUUAAUAUUGAUAUUAAUAUCUAAAUUAUCUCAUCAUCUCUUCCCAUAACAUUUAUCAUAUAUAAGAAACCAUAUAGACUCUCAAACAAAUUAAAUUUUAAAUAAUUUUCUUCCUAUCAUGGAUUAUUCACAAUUUAAAAAUAUAUUAUUAUUAUUAUUAUUAUGCAUUUUCAUCAACUUUUGCUUUCCACAAGCAAAAGGAAUUCACCAUUGGGGAAAAUAUACUAAUUCUAUAUAUAAUGGUAAGAACUAUCCUCUGAUGCUACAAUAUUAAAAAAAUACUCUUUAUGUCAAAACUAAAAAGUGGGGAGAAAUCUACUUUUGAUUUUAAACAUAUUUUAAGUUAUUUUAAAUUUAUUUUAAAUUAUUUUUAACCUUUUCAAACAAUUUCUAACUUAUUUUAAGUUGUUUUUAUCUCUUAAAAAUAUAUUUGACCAACUUUUAAAAUUUUAAGCACCUUCUAAGUCAUUAAUAUAGUAAAACUGGGCUAUUAGUGUUGAUGGUAUCUAUAAUCUAUAAUAUCUAUAAAUUGAAAUUUUCAUAAUCAGCCCCAUAAAUUUUGAUUUUUUUUCUUCUUUUAUAAAAGGGAAAUAAUUAUGUAAAUGUGACCAUAAACUCUAACAAAUCAAAGCUGAUAGCUCCUUUCUAGGAUUAUUCACAAAUUAAGACUAUAUCUUUUAUUAUGCAUUUUUUUCUUUUUUUGCUUUUCUUAAAUAAAAGGGUAUUCAAAAUAUAUCGUAUAUAAUAGCCUUCCAAUUGACUCUCCUGAUAAUUAAGAGUUCAUUGUUUUUCUAAAGAAAAUAAUAUAGGAUUUCAUGUACUUUCUCCCUAUGAAGAUAUUAAUUGGUCAUUUAAAGCAAAUCGCUGGAUUAUUGGAUUAUUAGUCGGUGAAAGGAUAAAAAUUAAUGAUAUUUAUAAUACUUUCAAAUGAAAAUCUUAUUAACUUUAAAAAUAUAAUAAUACUUUUCCUUUAAAUUUAUUGGAUUAUCUAUGUAUACAAAUUAGAUUUUUCAUUUUCUUCUUGUAACUUUCCUUAUAUCUAUUAUUCAAUUUUAAGAUUUCGAUUUUGAUUUCUCAAAUAUUUUUUUUUUUAAUAUUUAUCUUCUCAUCAUUUAUGUUGAGUAAUUUUGACAUGACAAUGGAACAGAGUAAGGGAUCAAUAGUUAGAAACUAAGAUGCUAAGUGACCAAUUAAUUAUUUUGUAUAUCAGUAUAUAUACACAAAUAUGUUAUUAUUGUAAUUGUUAACUUUUUUAUACGGAAUAAAUUAAUAAUAUUUUUUACAUCAAUUCAAACGAUAAAAACUAUCUAAAAUUUUCAAGGGAAGUUCUAAUAUCUUAGUUCGUACAAAUUGGUACAUCGAAAAUAUGAAAAUAAUGUGAAAUUAUCCUUUAAAAGAGUAUUUUAUCUCUUGAUAUGAAUUUUAAUGGCAUAAUUCUUUUAGGUGACAUUUUUUUUUUUGGUUAAAGUUUGAUUAAAAUGCUAACCAAAAAGAAUAUAUUACUUUAUUGACCUCUUUUAAGCAAUUGAUGUACUCAAUGAAGAAAAUAAUUGUGUUUCAAAUUCACAAAUUACCUCCAAAACUCAUUGUUAAUGAAAAUGAGUGUUAUAGAUAUAUUAACAGGUGAAUGAUAAUAAUUUAUAAUAUCGUAAAUUUUUUUUAUUAAAACCCUAUCAAUAUUAAAAAGUUAUAAUACUUCUUUGUUGAAUUGUGAAUUUCAAGUUUAUUGAAUUAUUAGAGUACAAAAUUUAAAUAUAUAAUUUUCUUGUUGUAACCUUUUUUUAUUUCGAUAAUUUAAUUUUAAGAUUUCUAUUUUCCAAACAUCUUUUACUUUUAACAUUUUCCUUCCCACCAUUCACGUGGAGAGAUUUCGAAACGCUAAUAAAACAAGAUAACAUAGGAGAGGAAAAAAUGAAUUUUGUUAAAAAGUUAAAAUUGUUCAAUGUUUAGAAGAGUUUUUUAUACUUUUUUUAAUAUAUUUAAUUCAUUUAAUAAAUUGUUAAAUACUUUACGUUUUGUAAACUAAUUUGAGGAUAAUUAAAAAAAUCUAGCAAAUUAAUAACCUAAAAUAGAUGGAGUAACUACGAUUUGAUUUAAUUGUGCUUCAUAACAAACGUUUGCAAAAAAUUGUCAGGUGCCUAUCUCCCAAAUAUCUCGCUCGCCGCUCUCCUUCAAUCUCUCGCUCGCUUCCUCACUUUUUAUACAAAUAUAAGUGUAUAAAAAUUGUUUCCAAUUGUAUAAAGCAGAGAAAAUUAAAUAUAUACAUAUAUUUUUGUUCCUCUCUCUCCCAACUUCCAGAUCUCGCUCCCCACUCUCCCAAAUCUCGCUCACCACGCUCACCUUUCUCACUUAUACAAACAGAAGCGAAAUGUAUAAAUUGCGUUUCUUUUUGUACAAAGCGUGAGAAAAAAUUGUAUGAACACAUGCAAAUAUAUAUAUUUUUGUCCUAUACACUUAUAAUUAUACAAUAAAAAUACUCCCCUGCCCAGUUUCUUUUGCCUUUCUCUCUUUCUCGUUUUAUACAGUUUUCAAAUUGUAUCUAAUUUCUCUCUUUCUCGUUUUAAACAAUUUGAUUCAAUUGUAUAUUCAUUGUCAAGUCUCUUUUGUCUUUCUUUCUUUCUCAUUUUAUACAAAUUCAAAUUGUAUACAAUCUUUCUAUACACUUAUAAUAAUACAAUUCAUUUUAUACACUUCGUUUUUAUACAGUUCUCUGUCCAAGUGUCUUUCUCUUUCUUGUUUUAUACACUUCAUUUUAUACAAUUUGCUUCAACUGUAUAUGUAUAACGAAUUAUAUAGUUUCUAUGUUUGCUAUGGAGCGCAAUUAUGCAAACUUUGUUAUAGCAUACAAAUAUAAAUUUUUUAUUUGCUAUAUGUGAAAGUUGCCCUUAAUAACCUUUAAUUUCUAUUCUUAAAUAUAUUUGUUUUGUGUCAAAUUCUAAUGAUACACUUAAUAUGGACCAUAUAAAAUAUAUAUACUAAGAGGCCGUUUAGAUUGACUUGAAAAAUAAUUUUUAUGUCAAAAUUAAAAAAUAGAGGGAGAUCUACUUUUGAUUUUUGACUUAUUUCAAAUCAUUUUUAAAUUUAUUUUACGCUAUUUUUAACCUUGUCAAGCACUUCCUAACUUAUUUUAAGUCAAAUUUUUUUAUUUAUCUAAAACUUUUUAAACAAAAAAACUGACAGAAAAAUAUAUUUAAUCAAUUUUUAACCCAAUGCAAAUGCCCUCUAAGUCAUUAAUAUAGUCAAACUGGGGUAUUAAUGUUGAUGGUAUCUAUAAUGUCUAUAAAUUGGAAUUUUCAUAAUCUGCCCCACAAAUUUUAAUUUUUUUCUUUCUUUUAACAAAGGGGAAUACUUGUAGCCAUAAACUCUAACAAACUAAAGCUGAAUAGCUUCUUCCUAUAAUGGAUUAUUCACAAGUUAAGACUAUAUACUUCUUAUGCAUUUUUUUCCUUUUUAGCUUUCCUCAAGCAAAAGGGUAUCCAAAAUAUACUGUUUGCGUAUAUAAUGGCCUUCCAUUUGACUCUCCUGAUAAAUUAAGAGUUCAUUGUUUUUCUAAAGAUAAUGAAAUAGGUUUUCAUGUACUUUCUCCCUAUGAAGAUAUUUCUUGGUCAUUUAAAUUAAAUCGUUUGAUUUUUUCGAGAACUACGUUCUAUUGCAGUUUUUGGUGGGGUAAAAGAGCCCAACAAAUUAUUGUAUUCAAUGAUGAAAAGUUGUGCGUUGGAGAUUCACAACUUCCUCAGUCCACACAUUAUUGUCAAUGGACAGCACAAGAGGAUGGUAUUUAUUUGAGUGGCGAACAAAGUUAUGGUUAUAGAUAUAUUAGCUGGUGAACGAAUAAAAAAUUAUGAUACUUUCUUAUGAAAAAUAUAAUAAUACUUUUCCUUUAAGUUUAUUGAAUUAAUUGCCUAUACAAAUUGAAUUUUUAAUUCUCUUGUUGUAACUUUACUUAAAUCUAUCGUUCACUUUUAAGAUUUCGAUUUUGAUUUCCCAAACAUUUUUUCUUCUCAUCAUUUAUGUCGAGUGAUUUUGACAAUGAAACAGAGUAAGGGAUUGAGUUUUAGUAAAUCAAAUGACUUCUAUUAAAUUUAGUCACUAAAUUAAGACAAUAGUUAGAAAUUAAAAUGCCAAGUGACCAAUUAAUUAUUUUGUAUAUCAAUAUAUAUACACGGAUACAUUAUUAUUAAUCGUUAUUUUUUGGUAUGAAAUAAAUCAAUAAUAUUUUUUACACUAAUUCGAAUGGUAAAAUCUAUCUAAAGAUCUUGAAGAAAGUUCUAACAUCUUAGUUCGUGUAAAAUUAAUACGUCUAAAGUAUAAAAAUAGUACGAAAUUAUUCUUUAAAAGAGUAUUUUAUCUAUUGAUAUGAAUUACAAUGGCACAAUUUUCUAGGUGAAUUUUAUUUUUAUGAAGUUUUUUUUAAAAAUGCUAACCAAAGAGAAUAUAUUACUUUAUUGACCUCUUUCAAGUUUAAGUUUUUUGUAUUACAUCAUAUUUAAGCUCAUUUUACUCUAAUAUUAUAAAAUAGAAAUUAUAUACUCUUUUUGUUUCUUUUUAAUUAAUAGAGUCUAUUCACAAUCAGAAAGUGUGAAUUACAUAGAGAUUUUUCUUAGGAAUUAAUAUGAAAAUUCGAAGAAAAAUAAGUUUCAUGUGAAUUUUCAUACUAAUAUUUAGAAAAAAUUCCCAUAUAAUUUACAGUUUAUUAUAGUGAUUAAUUUAUAGUGUUAAAUAUAACAGUUAAUAUAUUCUUUUAAAGGCACUAAGUCAAUAUUAAUAAAUUGAGAAAUAACAGAAAAAUAAAAUUAUUAUAUUUUAUUUAUUAAAAAUGAUAAAUAAAAAUAAAAAUCAAAUUAAAAAAUAGUCAAUAAAUCAUCAAAUGUAGUCAAUCAAUCAUACAAAUACUCCAAAAUUGGUCUGGGUGGGGGAUAUUAUGUCAAUUAAUGUUGAUAAUAUCAUUGUUCAUAAUUCUUUUUCUUCUUUUAUAAAAGGAGGGGUACUUAUUAUUAUUAUUAUUAUAAUAUAAAAAAGAAGCCAUAAACUAUAGCAAAUUAAAAUUGACAGUUUUUUCCUAUCAUGAAUUAUUCACAAUUCAAAACUAUAUUAUUGUUAUGUUUUUUUUUCUUUUUAUUGCUUUCCUCAAGCAAAAGGGAAUCAUCGUUGGAAGAAGUAUCCUGUUUUAAUAUAUAUGUAGACAUUGAAAUUUUGUAAGAGUCUACAAGAUGCGUUCAAUUCGAGUUGGGACUCUACAAAUUGUGUUCAACUCAGAUAAGGAUUCUUGGAGGCUUCUCAACCCUAAACCCCUAGUUUAUGCCUAAGGGUACUAAAUUCCGUUUAUGCCUAAGGGUACUAAAUUCCGUUAAAAGGCAUCUCGAAAAAUCCACAAAGAGAUCAAGAUAUCCACAAAGAGAUCAAGAUCUCGAAUACUCCACAAAUUGAUGGAUUAUUCAUAUAAAGAGAUCAAAUCUAAAUCAUCCUAGUUCAAGAAAUACACCACUAACGGCCAAUCAAGGGAGGAACAAAUUUAUAUUCACAAUCUUGAUGAAUAAAAUCACGUUUCUUCGAUUGUUUGCAUCAUGAUUGUGAGUACAAAUUUGUUCCUCCCUUGAUUCUACUCUCUAAUAUGAUUUAUCCAUGAUUCACGUUUCUUCGAUUGUUUGCAUCAUGAUUGUGAGUACAAAUCUGUUCUUCCCUUGAUUCUACUCUCUAAUAUGAUUUAUCCAUGAUUCGAGGGCCGUUAGUGGUGUAUUUCUCGAACUAGGAUGAUUUAGAUUUGAUCUCUUUAUAUGAAUAAUCCAUUGGAGUAUUCGAAAUCUUGAUCUCUUUGUGGAUUUUUCGAGAUGCCUUUUUAACGGAAUUUAGUACCCUUUAUAUAGGCAUAAACUAUGGGUUUAGGGUUGAGUAGCCUCCAAGAAUCCUUAUCUGAGUUGAACACAAUUUGUAGACUCCCAACUCGAAUUGAACGCAUCUUGUAGAGUCUUACAAAAUUUCAAUGUCUACAAUAUAAUGGCCUUCCAUUUGACUCUCUUAAAUUAUUCACUAUUAUUCUGCAGAUGACGAUUUAGAAUUUCAUUAACUUUUUGCUUAUUAAAAUUUCACUUGGAGAUUUAAAUUUAAUCAAUGGCUUUAGAUUAGGACAGUGUUUACUUAUCAUUUUUGGUGGGGUAAGAAAAAUAAAGCUUUUAUUGUAUUCAAUGAUUACGAUCAUUGCAUUUUGUAUUCGCCCUAGUGCUACAACAAAUUAUUGUCAAUGGACUAUACAAGAGGAUGGUAAUAUAUCGAAUGGUCGGAUAAAAAUUUAUGAUAUUGUAUUCUUUUAAUUGAAAUUUAUCUUUUAAAAAUAAUAAUAUUUUUCUUUUUUAAAUCGCUUAUUUUUAAGCUUAUUGAAUUGUUAACGUAUAAAAAAUAAAUUUAUAAUUUUAUGGUGUACCUUUGCCUUAACGAUCACUAGAACAUUAUAAAACCUGUUCUUUUAUUACCUUUUCCCUUUCCGUUAUUCAAGCUAAAAGUUUCAAAAAGAAAAUAAUUGAAUCUGAAAGUUUUGAUGAUAUAAUUGAUCACAAUAAUAGCAUAAAUAAACACAUCUAUUAAUAAUGGAUAAUACGAUUGAACUAUUUCUAAGAAUUUAAUAACAUAUUUGAUUUUUUUUCUUUUGAAAUCGUAUUUAUUAAAAUGUUUGUUCAAGUUUGAAAAGAAAUAAACAUGCUAACCAAUUGUAUGGAGCAGCCAUUUUUUAGACUUUUUUUUUUAAAGAAAUAUCAUUUCUAAUUGUAUUUCAAUAUUAUAAAAUAAAAUUAAACGUGAAAUUAAAGUAUAAAAUAUCGUAAAUUGUAUGGCGUAACCAUUUUUUAGAUUAUUUUUCCAGUAGCCAACAUUAAAAAAAUUCACCAAGGUACAUUAUUGGCUGACUAAUCAUUGUUUAAUCCUUUUUUUUAAAUAUUAUUUUUUUCAAUAACUUGAUAAAUCACAAGAGAAGAAAAAUAGUUCGUAUGUCCUCGUAAAGUUGGUAACAUUUUUGUUAUAUAUCUAAACAAAAAAUAUACCCCACUAGAGAAAGGGGGUUGGGGUUUGUUGAGGUCAAUAUGGUCAAUUCAUGUUUCCACCAACAAUUUUGGCCUAUAUAGUGGGGAAAAUAUGGUUAUUUUAAAAUGUAUAUAUAAGGUCAAAAGUUGAUGUACAUAAAUUAAAAAUGGAUAUUGUAGCUAUACCAAACACCUUACCAACACAAAAAUUUUACUUAUUCCUAAAGUUUUGAGCAAUGCAAUAUUCCAUUUCUUUGACUUCAUACACAUAAGGUUUCACCGAUAAUAAAAAGUUUCGAGUUUAAGUAAAUUUAAAUAAGUCGAAUUUUAUAUUGAAUGAGAGAAAAAGAGUUUCAAUUUAUUAAGUGGUUAUAUUCGUCUAAGGGAAUUAGAGAAAUGAGAUGAAAAAAAUUAUCCUUUUCACAAUCCCACUUAAUUUUAUUUUUUUUUUGAUCGAAACUUACCAACUCAGCUGAUUUGAAUUCAUUAUGUAAGUAGUCUGCAAUAUGAGGUGUUAAUGUUUACUACUAAGAACAAUUUCAUUAUUAAAAUUCAAACUCCAACUUUUAAGAGCUUACUUACAACUUUAGUCAUGGUGAGUAAAUUAUUAUUUUAAUUCUCAUAUUAAAAAUUAAAUGUAAAAAUAUCUUAUAUCUAGUCUUACUCUUAUAGACGUGCAGACCAAGUCGAGACCUUAUUUGUCAAUUAUUGUGUGCAUAAUAAACUGUUAAGUCCACUAUAUAAGCAAAAUUAGUGGACCAUUUUCUUAAUUUUUUAUUUGAAAAUCAAACUUUAAGAUGUUCUAAUUUAGAUUUUCAUGAAGAUUAAUAAUAUAAUUUUUAAUAAGGUGAUAUGUAUACCAACUUUAUUUUAAUAUUUUAUAUUGGCAGAAAAAUGAUUUAAAACACAAAAUCUGAAUUUCGUAAUACACAAAUUAUUAUUAAUAAAAUUGGUCAAUCUACAUAUACCUUUCAAAUUGGAACAUUUUGUAAUGAUAGCGUCACCAUAUCCUUGUAAGAGUAGGUAAGAUUUGAAAGGUUUGCCUAUGGUGUUUGUUGAUGUCAAUUUGGUCAACCUAUGUGGUUAGAUAAAAUUUUGAGUUCAAAUUUUAUUGACGAUGAAAAGUUUUUAAUAGCAAAUAUUUUUUUUUUGGAUAAAAUAUCGAAAUAAUCAACCAAAUAGAUUUUAUAUAUAGUAUGAUUAACCCUAAACAACAAAUUAUUCUUCAAAUAUUUGACAUUACUUCUUGGUCCCCCAAUGAAUAGCAAUUAAUUAGGUGUAUGAAAAUGUUGUUUCCCCCCUCCUGCCCCCCCCCCCCCUUUUUUUUUGUAUAUAUGUCAAAAUCACUCACCAUUCAAUAUGUUAUGUACUUUUUUUUUUUAAAAAAAAUUGAGUUCAUCUUUGGUUUAAUUUAAGCUCUAUUGAUUAUUGUUGAUUUUUAUUUCAUUAUUUUGUUACUACUGUUUAAUUCUUCAAAGAUAUGAAUAUGAUUUGAAUAUUUUAGAAUAGAUAUUCGUUAAUAAUAAAGUUAUAUUUUUAAAAUUAAGCAGAGCAAGAGGAUUAUAUUUUCGAAAGACAUUAAAAAAUUAGGAUCGAUAAGUAAAUUAUAAAGCUAGAAUAGAAGAAAUUGAUAAAUCCAACAAUUUCUUUAUUAUUAUAUAUAUAUAUAUAUAUAUAUAUAUAUAUAUAUAUAUAUAUAUAUAUAUAUAUAUAGUUUCUAUUAAAUUUCUUCAUGCUCCAGGCUUAAGAAAAGAAAUAAAUAAAGGAUGGGGUGGGUUGGUGUUCUUUUAUAUAAUAAUAAUAAUAAUAAUAAUACUCUAUUCUCCAACUUUUUUGUUCUCUAUUCCCUUUAAUUAUUUUGCUUCGAAUUAGUGGGACAUUAUGCAUAUAAUAUAGUACUAGCAUAAUUAAAAAAAAUAUUAAAAAAAUGUUUAUAUUGGGUGAUGAAAGGACAUAGAGAUUUGCGACGAAACGAAAUCGUUACCCUUUGUACAAUCCGUUCUUCUUUUCUAUAUAUAUAUAUUUAUAUUUAAAAUUAUGUUUUUUUAAUUUUGUUUAGUGAUUUUAUUUAUAAGUAUGUGAAUAUCUAUUAAUUUUUACAUAUAAAUAUGAUUUGAACCUAUAUUACCGUAGAUGAAUUUAGAGUAUAUAGUAGAUAGUGUUGGACUAAUAAGAUUUUUAUGGUGACUAUUUAAUAGUAUACGAUUUUUUUAAAAAUCUUCUACUUUUUUAUUAAAAAAAAAUUAAUUAUCACUUAACCUUUUAAAUUACAAAUAAUUUACGGCAUUAUUUUUUAUUAACAUAAAAAAAUUAAUAGAACUCCUAUUUUCUAAUUUGUAUGGCGGUGUGAGAGUGAGAGCACCGACGAGAUGGCCGUUACAUUGAGAUUUACAAAGUGUGGGUCCAAUAAUACCUGUCGGCCAACAUCUAUUAUUUAUUAAUCUUUACGUUUUAAAAAGAAUUAUAUAAUUUAAUUUAUAAAGAAGUUAAUUUUUUUUUUAAUUUUAUAAUUCUAAAUUAGAGUUACAUCAAAUAUAUUAAAUGUCAUUUAAUAUUAUAAUCUUAAAUAUGUCGCAUGAAAAAUUAAAGUUAAAGUGCUGACCAAAAAAAGAAAAGGAUCGUUCUUUUUGAAUUAUACUAAAAAAAAAUUAGGAUAUUUUUUUAAAUGAAAGAAGUAACUUUUUUGUAUCAGAGCCUAAUAAAUUUAUAUUCGUAUCGUUUUUAAAUUUUAUUCAAGAAAGAAUGCAUUGUAUCAAAAAGAAAAUUUUAAUACGCUUAAAUUUAAAAUCUCUUAUUGAAGACGGAACAACUUAAUCACGACAUUUGGCCAAACCUAAUUGAUUUUUUUCUUCCUAUUUUUUGAUAAACUGAAUAAUACUCUCCAUAAUAAUAAUAAAAACUAGCGUUUUUAGACUUUAUUAUAAUUUCAAAAUUUCUUUAUUUUAGUUAGUUAGAGACACAAGCUGCUGCAUCAAAAGAAAAACAAAACUCUUCAAUUUACAUCUUACAAGGACUGCAUUUUUUUACUGCUUCAAAAAGAAUUUUUUUUAUAUUAAUAUUUUAAUUUCAAUUUUCAUCAUGUAUAAGACUAUAAAAUUAAAUUAUAAAUUUAUAUAUUUAACAGAAUUUUAGUUUAAAAUUACAAAUUUUAAAAAUCUAUUUUAUUUUCUUAAACUUCAUAUGAAAUUAAAUUUAAUCAUUCUAUUUAAGCGAAGAAAAUAAUUAUUGUUCAAAUAAUUUGACAAAACUAAUACAGGUAUGACAAAAUAAUGAAAUAAUGCCAGUUUAGUGUCUGUGCUCGACUAUAGAUUGAUUUACUAUCUUUAGUCGUGUCUUUGAGAUGCAUCCACAAGAGAAGUUAAAGUAGGUUUUGAUAAGUGGCGGAUCUAAAAAUUUUAAUAAGAAAAUUUGAUAUGUGAAGAAUUAAAUAUAUGAAAUAAUUAAAUAGGUUUAACAUUUAUAAUAUAUUUUUAUAUGAUUAGAAUAAUUUAGAUAUAUAUAGGAAAUGUGAUCUCCUUCACCUAUUUUGUAGAUCUAAUUUUUUUAGAUUUUAAAUCCCUUAUCGAAACUUUUGGCUUCACCUUUACAUAAAAUAUAAUUUAAUCAUGUAUACAUAGUAAAAAAAAUUCGUCGAAGCGGUUCGGAUGAAUCUCCUAUCAGAGGGCUAGCUCCGCCCCUGAUUUUGAUAAUCCUAAAAUAAGGUAAAAGUACAGAAAUCUCAUAUAUUUAGGUUAUAUUUUAUCAAAAAUUUCUCAUUUAUAAAAAUUAAAAUUUGUAUUGUCCUUAAAUAUAUAUUUUUAUUAUCUGAUAUAUUACUUAAUAGAAAAAAUAUAUAUGGGAGUGGAUGAAUGGAGAGCCCCGAGUAGUUUAUUGGACAAAUCAAAUUAACGUGUGAUAAUACUUUUCAGCAUCAAAAGUUUUCUUCUAUCACGAGAGAAAAUGAAUAUAUAUUCGAGAGAGGACCAGGAUUUAAUCUAAACUAAAACAUGUAAAAAAAUAUUUAAUAAAAAUUACUAAUAAACUUUAUCAGAUCUACCAAAACCAAUAAAUUCCCUUAUAAAAAUUAGAGAUCUGAAACAAAUCUUGACCGUCCAUUUCCACAAUCAAACCUAUUUAUACCACUCAUUUCCGCCCUAAAUUUCUUGCCACAAUUCUUCUUCUUCCCUGAAAAACCCCAAAGGAAGAAGAGAAAAGCCUCUCAGAUCUCAUCUUAAACCCUUUCUUUUCUCUUAUACUCGCCUUACCCAUGGCUCUACUCGUUGAGAAGACCACCUCUGGCCGCGAGUACAAGGUGAAGGACAUGUCUCAGGCUGACUUCGGCAGGCUCGAAAUCGAGCUUGCUGAAGUUGAAAUGCCUGGUCUCAUGGCUUCACGUGCUGAAUUUGGCCCUUCACAGCCCUUUAAAGGUGCAAAGAUCACUGGAUCUCUGCAUAUGACUAUCCAAACUGCUGUCCUUAUUGAAACCCUAACUGCUUUGGGUGCUGAAGUUAGAUGGUGUUCUUGCAACAUCUUCUCAACUCAGGACCAUGCUGCAGCAGCCAUUGCACGUGACAGUGCUGCUGUCUUUGCCUGGAAAGGUGAGACUUUGCAGGAGUACUGGUGGUGUACUGAGAGGGCACUUGACUGGGGUCCAGGUGGUGGUCCUGAUCUGAUUGUUGAUGAUGGAGGUGAUGCUACUCUGUUGAUUCAUGAGGGAGUUAAGGCUGAAGAGGAGUUUGCUAAGAAUGGAACAGUCCCAGAUCCCACUUCUACUGACAAUGUUGAGUUUCAACUUGUGCUUACUAUUAUUAAGGAGAGCUUAAAGACUGAUCCAUUAAGGUACACUAAGAUGAAGGAGAGACUUGUUGGUGUUUCUGAGGAAACUACCACUGGUGUUAAGAGGCUUUACCAAAUGCAGGCUAAUGGAUCUUUGCUUUUUCCUGCUAUCAAUGUUAAUGACUCUGUUACCAAGAGCAAGGUAUAUUAUAUGUGCUUUCUAACUUAUUGUUUUGAUUCUUAUGCUUCAGAUCUAUGUGAAUUGGUUGUGUGUAGUGUUCAUGUGCUAGUUAUACAUAUAGAUCUGUUAUGAAAUGAUUGAUAAUUGCUUGGAUCUGAUACAGAGGAACUAUACUGUUAACUUAAUGUUGAUUGAUUUGUACUUAUUGUACAAGUGCAAUGUAUAUUUGAGUUGAAUCUUAUUAAUGAAUCAUGAAUCUUCUACUGUUUUGGUAAUGUUUGAGGAAUAAAUGCUAUUGCCUUUUGAAAAGCUAAAAGUUUUCAUCUUUUCUAAUUGGAGUGCGUGGUUAUAUAGUCACUGAUUAGAAAAUUUUGUAAGAUAUUUAUGUGAUGAUGCAUAUUUCACUAGAUCCGUAUUGUUAAGCAUAGAAAAGAUGGUUUCUAAAAUGUCUGAUCUUGUUACAUGAAGAAAUGGUACUUAUUUAACCUCAUAAGUUCAUGACUUUAUUGUAUUGAUUGUUUGCUUAAAGUGGAAGAAUGGUGAAGUGUAUAGUUUUUCACUUGAUUAGUUGAAGAAUGACAACUUGAUUAGCUUAGAUAGGUUUACUUAUAGCUCCAUUUGGAAAAGCUAUUUACAGUAGAUGCAUAAAGUAGUAGAUCUUGAUUAUUAUAUUUAUACCAGGGUCAUGUUUGUUAUUAAGCUCAUUGAUUGACAAUUGUAUUGAUCUGUUUGGUUUGCAGUUUGACAACUUGUAUGGAUGCCGCCACUCACUUCCCGAUGGUCUCAUGAGGGCUACUGAUGUUAUGAUUGCUGGAAAGGUUGCUCUUGUUGCUGGUUAUGGAGAUGUCGGCAAGGGAUGUGCUGCUGCCAUGAAACAAGCUGGUGCCCGUGUGAUUGUGACUGAGAUUGACCCAAUCUGUGCUCUCCAGGCUACCAUGGAAGGCCUCCAGGUUCUUCCUCUUGAGGAUGUUGUUUCUGAGGUUGAUAUCUUUGUGACCACCACCGGUAACAAGGACAUCAUCAUGGUUGACCACAUGAGGAAGAUGAAGAACAAUGCCAUUGUCUGCAACAUUGGUCACUUUGACAACGAAAUCGACAUGCAUGGUCUUGAAACCUUCCCUGGUGUGAAGAGGAUCACAAUCAAGCCACAAACCGACAGAUGGGUCUUCCCAGACACCAACAGUGGCAUCAUUGUGUUGGCCGAGGGUCGUCUCAUGAACUUGGGAUGUGCCACUGGACACCCCAGUUUUGUGAUGUCUUGCUCUUUCACUAACCAAGUCAUUGCCCAACUCGAGUUGUGGAAUGAGAGGAGCAGUGGCAAAUACGAGAAGAAGGUGUACGUCUUGCCAAAGCACCUUGACGAGAAGGUUGCUGCCCUUCAUCUUGGAAAGCUCGGAGCCAAGCUUACCAAACUCACCAAGGAUCAAGCUGACUACAUUAGCGUACCUGUUGAGGGUCCUUACAAGCCUGCUCACUACAGGUACUGAGGGGAAGAGACGCUCACAGUGGAACAACGAUACGGCGGCAUGAUUGUUUUGUUUUUAAUACUUUUAUUUUGUUUAGGUAGUGUGUUUUUAUUUUUGUUGGGGGAUAUUUUGCUGGAAAGUUGACCUAAAUGUGUUUGAAUAAUAUUUGAAUUAUGGUUGGGGUGGUGUCAUAUGAUAUUGUACCAAGUUAGAUUCAUUUGCUUUCUUGUUUCUAUAAAAUUUGCUUCAAGGAAACAAAGCAUCAUGUUUUUCAUUUUCACUACAUCUUUGCUUUAUUUACUUGAUGUUAUUGCAAUUCUUCUCUUAUUUGGCUUCUGUUUAUGCAUCCAUAUGAGAGAGUUCACUUCUAAGAGGGAACAUAUGGUUGACUCCUAGUGAAGAUUUGCGUAGUCUUUGAAAUUUAUAUUUGUGACUUUCGAAAAGCAUAAUAGAGAUGAAAGGAGUAAAUUACUGUACUUUUUAAAUUAAACUUUAGGGAUGGGAACCACCUUGGGGAUUAUCACACCUCAGCACUCAAAAUAACUCCUUUUUGUGAAUAAAACUCCUUUCGUUUCACAAAGAAAUUUAAGAAUAUAAAGUAAUUUUUGAAUUUUAUGAUUCUAAAUUGGAAUUUGAUUAAAUACAAAAUUGUACUUUGAUUUACUGACCUUAAACACGUCACAAGAGGCCAUUCUUUUCGAAAUAAACUAAAAAAAAAAGUCAUUCUUUUUUAAACGGAGAGAAUAUCAAAAAAAAAGAUGUCCUUUCGUUUCACAAAGAAGUUUAAGAAUAUAAAGGAAUUUUUGAAUUUUGUAAUUCUAAAUUAGAGUUUGGUCAAAUACAAAAUUUUAUUUUGAUCUACUGACCUUAAACACGUCACAAGAGGCUAUUCUUUUCAAAAUAAACUAAAAAAAAAAUCAUUCUUUUUUAAAUGAAGGAGUAUAAAAAAAAGAUGAAAGAUUCUUAAUUUUUUUUUUCUAAUUGUACAAAUAAUUAACUACAUUGAGCAUAAAUCUCUCUUUACAUCAUUUAAAAUGAUGACACACUUGAAUUUUUUUUUUUUUUGGGAGAAUUUGAAAUUUCAGAUCAUAAAUUUGAGCCCCAUUUAGCCAAAACAAUAAUUUGUAUGUACACUUCUUCUAACUAUUUUGUGCAAUCUAAAAGGACCUCAAAUUUGAGAUAUUUGGGUGAAAAAGUUGAAUGCUUGUUGGAAAAGAAAUAGCUUUUUUAAAGGGAGAACAAAACAAAAUUUGCUUGUAAAAAAAUAAAGUAAUUAUAAACUUAUUUGCCUAAAAUUAAAUGAUCUUUCACCAACCACCACCACCAAAUUUUCUUUGUUUUUUUCAACUUCAUUUCACCUAAUGCUAUCCAAUUAGAUAAGAUAGUCUAAUUAACCAUGGUUUAAUAAAAGAAACAUCAUGCAUCUAUUAAUUAUGGUUUGAGUUCGAGUUCUAAUAUAUAUGUAAAAACUUGAUAGAAAAGAAAAUCCUUCUGUUUUGAAUGAAUAUUAUGUAAUGGAAAAUCGAAUUAAUUGAACUCUAAAUAUCAACAAAUAUAUAGGGAAAUUUUAUAAGUGAGGUUUGUGAGAAUAGAGUAUAUGCAAAUUUUAUUAUUAUCAUAUGGAGGUAGAUACACUAUUUUCAAAAGACCGUCGACUCUAAUACAACUAUUUAAAUAUAACGAGAAAAUUAUGAUACGCCACAAAAAAUAGUAUCAAGUCUACUAAAAAGGAGCAACAACAAUAAUAAAAGAUGCAUCAAUUGAAACGUAAUAAAUAAUAAAUAUACUAAGAUAGAUUAUUAAAAACGAUGAUGUAGUAAAGUUUGAAACUAAUUUUAUUCUUUGUAAGGAAAAAUUGUAGUACUUUCUCCGUUUCACAAAGAAUGAUCUAAUUUGACUUAACACGAAGUUUAAGAAAAUAAAGAAGACUUUUGAUCAUGUGAUCUCAAAUUAAAGUUAUGUCAAAUGUAUAAAAUUACACUUUAAUAUUGUGGCCUUAUAUAUGUUAUCUAGAAAAUUAUUACCAAAAAAAAGAAAAAUAUAAUUUUUUUGAAACACUGAAUCAGAAAAAAAAUAAAAUUGUAGUCACUAUUGUGAGUCACUUUAAUUAAAGACAACAUGGUCCUUUUGCCGCACCGCAAUUUGGAAAUUAAGAUGUGCACUUAUAGUAGCUAAUUCAAUUUUAUUGGGUUCAUGUGGGAGACGUUAAAAUAAUCGUAUUGUUGAAUAUUUUAUCUUUUUUACUUUUAAUUUAAUAGAGUGUUUUUAUAACAUGGUAAAAAAUAUCGCUUAAUAAAUCACACAUUUGAAAACAUGAACAAUAGCCUGACACAAGUAAACAUGCAAAGGUUUCGACAUGUAAAAGGGGAGUUCUUGUGAGCAUAGUUCAUAUUCAUUUAUCUCUAAAAUGUAUAAGGUGGAGGCUCAACGUAUAAUUUUUGAGACUCAUUUUAGCUGUGCUCAAACAUUAUUCAUUAUUUUCUCGAGGACAAUUUUUCUUAAUUAUACCUAUACUGAUUGCCACGAAUAUUAACAUUUUUUUUUCAAGGUAAUGUUUGAUUUCCUGAAAUAUGUUACAUUUGAGAGAAAAAAGAGAUUAAUCAUUGCAUUCAUCCAUAAAAUACAAUGUUAUAAUUUGGUUCAUGAACUAUCAUUGGUAUCUUGAUCACAAAUAUAUCUUUCCAUUAAUGUACAAAUUUUACACAAAAAAUACAAUAAAAACCUUCAGAGCUUUAUGGAUCAAUUGCUAAAUGUAAGACAAAUUCAAACAAAUCGUAUUUAGAAUGAAUAGGUUAAAAAUAUUUGAACUAUUAUACUUUCACGAGUUACAUGUAUCUAAUAGCCGUAUGUUCCUUUUAUAUCACCAAACAAUAAUUUCGUGUAUAUUAAAAAACCCACCAUCACAUAACUACAUGUGUGUCUAUUACACACCCAAUUUACCUAAAAACAAUGCCAACUAACGAGGGGGUUUUAUUAUAGAGAGAAUUAUUAUUCCAAGCGUUAAUAUAUUGAGAUCUCUUUCACUCUUAAUCAAAUAAAAUUCGAAAUCAAAAAAUGAAAAAUGCAAGGGAGUAUUAAUUACAAGAAAAUAUGCUACUACAUCAUCCUUUCUCAUUCGUGUCUGAUAUUCAUAUUGAAGUCUAACUAAUUCAGGUUCACAUCACAUAAAAUCUCGUUCAUAAAAAAAUAUUCAAAUAUAAAUGAGAUUUGAUUAAGCAAAAUGACUAAUCUUUUUCUACCCCAUCAUCGCUACCAACCAACCAACUCCUAGAAAUAAAUUUAAAAACAUCACCUUAAUGAAAAAAUAAACUAAGCACUUCCAAUUUUGAAAAGAAAAUACAUUCAUCCAAUCAAAAUUUUAGAUAUUUUUUAUUUAUCAAAUUUGUAGGUCUACCAAACCUCAAUUUAAUCCAAUCAACUAUUCAGAUCUGAAACAAAUCUUGACCGUCCAUUUCCAUCAGAGAAGCCUAUUUAUACCAAUCACUUCCUUCCCUUAUUUCUUGCAACACUCUUCUUCUUCCUUAAAACCCAAAGGAAGAAAAGAAAAUCGCCUCUUUCUGUCAAUUUCAUCUCAAAAUCUCCCAUUUUCUCUCAGUUUUUCUCUUAUACUCGCCUUACCCAUGGCUCUACUCGUUGAGAAGACCACCUCUGGCCGCGAGUACAAGGUGAAGGACAUGUCCCAGGCUGACUUCGGCAGGCUCGAAAUCGAGCUUGCCGAAGUUGAAAUGCCUGGUCUCAUGGCUUCCCGUGCUGAAUUUGGCCCUUCACAGCCCUUUAAAGGUGCAAAGAUCACUGGAUCUCUGCAUAUGACUAUCCAAACUGCUGUUCUUAUUGAAACCCUAACUGCUUUGGGUGCUGAAGUUAGAUGGUGUUCUUGCAACAUCUUCUCAACUCAGGACCAUGCUGCAGCAGCCAUUGCACGUGACAGUGCUGCUGUUUUUGCCUGGAAAGGUGAGACUUUGCAGGAGUACUGGUGGUGUACUGAGAGGGCACUUGAUUGGGGUCCAGGUGGUGGUCCUGAUCUGAUUGUUGAUGAUGGAGGUGAUGCUACUCUGUUGAUUCAUGAGGGUGUUAAGGCUGAAGAGGAGUUUGCUAAGAAUGGAACAAUCCCAGAUCCUAGUUCUACUGAUAAUGUUGAGUUUCAACUUGUGCUUACUAUUAUUAAGGAGAGUUUAAAGACUGAUCCUUUAAAAUACACUAAGAUGAAGGAGAGACUUGUUGGUGUUUCUGAGGAAACUACCACUGGUGUUAAGAGGCUUUACCAAAUGCAGGCUAAUGGAACUUUGCUUUUCCCUGCUAUUAAUGUUAAUGACUCUGUUACCAAGAGCAAGGUAUGU
Molecule: long non-coding RNA, 59810 nt
Filed under: Solanum lycopersicum (tomato)
Lineage: Eukaryota; Viridiplantae; Streptophyta; Magnoliopsida; Solanales; Solanaceae
Description: long non-coding RNA (SLYC_LNC000719)
Source: RNAcentral